UCCGUGGGAAGAGAGCAGAUACCAAUCCUAAACAACCCUUAGAAUGGCCUCAUCCAAACGAAUGAUUGUCAUUGAUAAGACGGGCAGGUGGUAUGUUGAUACUGAGCCGCUUCCCCUGUAGUUGUUAGCGAAAGGCGUCAACAACUGAUCGAGGGGAGGUAUCCCCGAGAAAAGGACUAUUCGGAUCACUGAAAGGACUAUUCGGAGCNNNNNNNNNNNNNNNNNNNNNNNNNNNNNNNNNNNNNNNNNNNNNNNNNNNNNNNNNNNNNNNNNNNNNNNNNNNNNNNNNNNNNNNNNNNNNNNNNNNNUAGGGCGAAUUCCGUGGCUCGUUUACUUGGCUGGACAUGCGUGCACACACAUCUCUUAUCGGUGACAACCAUGCUUGGACAAGUCACGCAUUCACACACAUCACUAUUUUCGGCGUCGCAAGUCACACAAUGCUCUUACAAUGGGUCUUAAUUGUAUACCAGCUGGUAAGAUGAGCAGGCCAAUAUCGCAUCAAAACCCGCAGCAUCUAAGAUGGCAUGUACGUACAUUAGAAACAUUCAGCAAAUUGCAGUAAACAGAUGAGAAACACAGAGCUGUGCUAAUCUUUCACCCAAAGAUGUCAAAACUGUGAAUUUCCUGUGAACAUAUAAACAUGAAACUGAAAUGUGAAGAUGGAGUUAUGUAGGAGUAUGUGCAAUAUACCUGCAAUCUAUUUCAUUCUAAAUUUGCUUCGAAGAAAGAAGAUUUUUAGAACAAUAAAAUGCAAGCAGGCAGGUGGAUGCCUUAUCUGCCCACUAAGGCCUCGUUUGGUUAAGCGGGAUUGGAGAGGAUUUGAGAGGAAAAUCCCCGGGGGGUCAGAAACCCCACAGAUCCUCGCGCGUCCAUUUGGUAGGAGGGGUUUGCUUAGCCCAAUCCCCUCCAUUCCCCUUCAAUCCCUUCCUAUCCAUGUGUUUCAAAACCCUCCUCGGAGGACUAGUGGAAGCAAAAACCCGGGGAUUUGAGAGGAUUGGGUGAAACAAAGGGAUUCAUCCAAUCCCCUGAAUUCCCUCCCUCUUAAAUCCUCUCCAAUCCCCCUUAACCAAACGAGGCCUAAUAGUUUGAGAACAACAUGUCAUGUGAACACAUGAAAAACUUGUCCAGCUCCGACCGUUGACAAGAGCGUUUAUUUGUACAUCCUUGGAAUAUUAGCAACAUGCUCAACGCAAUCACGCAACACAUACUGUUAUAUAUAAAUAUAUAUACACACACACAGAUGCUACUACUACAACUACAGUACUUGCUAACCAAACCAAGCAAUGGCAAUGGGGAUCAUGAGUUUGCUAUGCUCAUUCCUGGCCGUCCUGACUACUGCGACCGUGAGUGGUAGCGACCACGACGAGGCUGCGUUGCUUGCUUUCAGAGCGCAGGUCAGCGAUGGCGGCUCGCUAGCCUCCUGGAAUAGCAGCGCCAGCUUUUGCAGCUGGGAAGGUGUGACAUGCAGCCACCGAAGGCCAGCGCGGGUGGUGGCGCUGAGAUUGAACAACAAGGCGCUCGCCGGAGAACUCUCACCGGCCAUCGGGAACCUCACGUUCCUGCGGACGCUUAACCUGAGCUUCAACUGGUUGCACGGGGAGAUACCAGCGAGCCUCGGCCGCCUCCGCCGCCUGCAUAGGCUCGACUUGGGUGACAACUCCUUCUCAGGCACGUUACCAGUGAACCUGAGCUCAUGUGUCAGCAUGGCCAUAAUGGGACUGCUAAACAACAAGCUUGGCGGGCGCAUCCCGGCUGAGCUCGGAGAGAAGCUCACGUCCCUGGUAAGGAUAUCACUGAGUAACAACAGCUUCACAGGGCUCAUCCCUCCAUCGCUGGCCAAUCUGUCCCAUUUGGAAAUCCUUGAUCUCUCUCGCAACCAGCUCGUGGGCUCAAUCCCACCACGGCUCGGAAGCAUCCAGGGCAUGCAACAGUUCAGCAUCGCCAGAAACCUCAUCAACGGUAUGAUUCCGACUUCUCUCUACAAUUGGUCAUCGCUACAACUAUUUGAUGUAGGGACAAAUAUGAUGUACGGGAGUUUGGAUAGUAUCGGAAACAAGUUCCCCAAGUUAAAAUAUCUUGGCCUGUCUGGUAAUAACUUCACUGGAACAAUCCCAUCAUCAAUAUCCAACAUAUCUUCCCUCUUAUCAGUUGGCUUUGAUAGCAACAGAUUUAGUGGGUACUUUUCUCCCGCGUUUGGGAAGCUGGCAGCACUUCAAUAUUUGAACUUGAAUAACAAUAAGCUUGAAGCGAAUGACAACAAGGGUUGGGAAUUCAUCACGUCUUUGGCAAACUGCAGCCAACUGCAGCUAUUGGUACUCAGCAGCAAUUCUUUUCAAGGACAACUACCAGGUUCAAUUGUGAACCUGUCAACGACUCUCCAGUACUUGCACUUAGGUGACAAUAGGAUCUCUGGGAGUAUUCCUGCAGAUAUAGGCAAUUUGAUUGGUCUACAAACACUUGCGAUAGUAAAUACUUCCAUGUCCGGAAUGAUCCCAAAGAGCAUCGGUAAGCUACAGAACUUGAUCGAUUUAGCAUUGUACAACAAUAGCUUGUCUGGGCUCAUACCGCCAUCGCUAGGAAACCUUUCACAAUUGAAUAAGCUUUAUGCACGUAAUAGCAACUUGGAGGGACCAAUUCCGGCAAGCCUGGGGAAGUUGAAAAACCUCAUUGUACUUGAUUUAAAAAUGAAUUACCAUCUCAACGGUUCAAUACCCAAAGAAAUUUUCAGGUUACCUAGCCUUUCUUGGUAUUUGGACUUGUCAUACAAUUCCCUUUCCGGACCCCUUCCCAAUGAAGUUGGUAGCUUGGCAAACCUUAACCUACUAGUUCUAUCAGGAAACCAGCUGUCUGGCAAGAUACCCGACAGCAUACAGAAUUGCAUGGUAUUGGAACAACUAUUCUUAGACAACAAUUCCUUUGAGGGAAACAUACCUCAGUCACUGACAAAUAUAAGGGGGCUCAGUAUAUUGAACCUGACCAUGAACAAGUUCUCUGGUAAUAUUCCGGAUGCCAUUGGCAAUAUUGGAAACCUGCGAGAGUUGUACGUAGCACACAACAACUUGUCAGGAUCAAUCCCACUAGUUCUAGAAAAAUUGUCGUCAUUGUCUGAAUUGGAUAUAUCCUACAAUAAUUUGCAAGGAGAGGUGCCAAAUGUAGGUGUUUUCAGAAACAUCACUCAUUUAGCGGUUGUUGGGAAUGUCAAUUUGUGUGGUGGUACACCUCAACUUCAUUUGGCUCCGUGCCCCACAGGGGUCUUAAGCAAGAAGAGAAAAAAAAUGCCAAAAUCUCUGGUAAUUUCUCUAGCAGCAGUUGGAGCAAUCAUGUUCUUACUUGCAGUGAUUGUUCUUGUUUGGAGACUUUGUAAGAAGCUCAAAUCAAGCCAGAACGCAGUAGCAAAAGAUUCAAUUGUUGAUGGCCAUUACAGAAGAAUCCCCUAUCCUGCAUUACUGAAAGGAACUAACGAAUUUUCAGAAGCCAACUUGCUUGGGAAAGGAAGUUAUGGUGCGGUUUAUAAGUGUGUUUUGGACAAUGAAGAAACAGAAUUGGCUGUCAAGGUGUUUAACCUUGGUCGAUCUAGGUAUUCGAAGAGUUUUGAGGCUGAAUGUGAGGCUAUGAGAAGGAUAAGACACCGUUGUCUCAUAAAGAUCAUUACUUCUUGUUCGAGCAUCAACCACCAAGGUCAAGAGUUCAAGGCAUUGGUUUUUGAAUUCAUGCCCAAUGGUAACUUGGAUAGCUGGCUUCAUCAACCAUCUCAAGAUCCCACUGCAAACAACACGCUCAGCCUUGCCCAGAGGUUCGAUAUUGCUGUCGAUAUUGUGGAUGCAGUAGAAUAUCUGCACCGCUACUGCCAACCAUUGGUGAUCCAUUGUGAUAUUAAGCCAAGCAAUAUUCUUCUUGCUGAAGACAUGAGCGCCCGAGUUGGAGACUUUGGCAUAUCAAGAAUUCUUCAAGAAAAUACAAGUGAGGGGAUGCAAAGUUCAUAUGGCUCAACUGGAAUUAAAGGUUCCAUAGGCUAUGUUGCUCCAGGUGACUAAAACUUCUAAUUUUAUUAUUACUUUUCACUCAAGUAUUCCAUGCUAACCACAAGACUUUGCAUAAUUGCAGAGUAUGGAGAAGGAUCUGCGGUCUCUACAGCUGGUGAUAUUUAUAGCCUUGGCAUAUUGCUGCUUGAGAUGUUUACUGGAAGGAGCCCAACAGAAGGCAUGUUUAGAGAUUCAUUGGAUCUUCAUAAGUUUGUUGAGGAUGCACUUCAAGAUAGGACCCUGGAGAUAGCUGACCCAACAAUGUGGCUGCACAGCGGACAAUGGGAUAACACUACAAGUAUUAGAAUCAUGGAGUUAUUGGUUUCAGUUUUCAGGCUUGGCAUAUCCUGCUCAAGGCAACACCCGCGAGACCGAACAACUACGGGAGAUGCAGCGGCAGAGAUGCAUGCAAUCCGAGAUGCAUACCUCAAAUUCAUAGGGGAGCAUGGAGCAGAAACAGAAGCCUCAACUGAAGAAAUUCAGAACAGUGUUGCAUAGACAAGCUAUUACUAGAUAUAUAUGGUACUAAAGGUUUUACGUAUCACUUCAGUUACUAGUGGCUCUCAGAGCUACGUUGCUUUACAGUUGUACCAAAUAAAUGUUGAACAAUUGCAUUAUGCAAUAAUAGCUCUACAGUAAGUCGUAGAGGGUUCUAGAAAUCAAGUCCAUUCCCAAAAACUUUACACACGCAGCCAACAAUCAGGUAAAACCAUCAGACAUGAGGUUCUAGAGAGUUUAAGAAGUUCUUUUUUUACUUUUCUUAUACAUUUAGUAUUAAUCUUAUUAUCUUAAUAGAUGCGUUCUCAAGAGAACUGUGGUUCUUUAUUACCCCCUCCGUAAGCAUUUAGAUCAUUAAAAUAGUGAUCUAAAUGCUCUUAUAUUCGAAAGUACUUAUGUGAUCCCGAGCUUCAGUGAUCCCGGAUGAACAAUAAAAUCCGAAAAAAUACUAAAAAAGUUUUUAAAAAAUCUGAUUUUUUUUUACAGGAAACUUUGAUGUUUUUCUACAUGCAUGCAAUUUUUCAUGAUGAAAUGAUAUUUGUGAAGUUGUGGGCGAAAAAACAAAAAUGAUGUUCUAAAGUGCUUUCAAAAACACUUUUCUGGAACAUCCAUUAUGUUUUCUUUUCCCACACCCAGGGCUCAGCCUGGACGUGACGAGCGGGCUUUCGGCCCGGCUCGUAGCCCGUUAUGGACCGGAUCGCACGGGCCCGGCUCGUGAAAUAAUAUGGCCGGUCCGGUCCGUGAAAAAAAGACUAAAAUUUGGUCUGUCCGGUCCGGUGCAAACUCGUUCCGGCCCGGAGGACCGAAGGACCAGCCCAACAAAACUAAUGAAGAGAGAUUCAACCCAUAAAGACUACGCGUGCGUGCGCUGUGUGACCUAACUGCUGCUCUCUCUCCCUCGUCCAUGCCCAGGACGCCGCCGCGUGACUUCAUCUUCCUCUUCCCUGCUCUCCCCUCCUUUCCCCGGCGCCACUGCCUCGCGUCGCCGCUCCUCCGCGGGCUGCUCGCCCUCUCAUCCGUGCGGUCGUGCAUCUCCCUCUCUCUCCCGUGCCUUUCCCUUGUGCCCUCGCGCCCCGGCCACCGCGCCGCCGCUUCUCAGGUGUGUCUUCUCCGUCUCCGGCCAUCGUGUUGUUGUCCCGACCACCGCUCCGACACCCUGGGUCCACAUGACAGUCACCGGACGUCGUUGGACCGUGAGGAUCGGCGGUCCGCACCGAGCUUUACAUCUGCCGGUCCGGUCCCUGAAAUCAGGACCACCGGGCUGCUCGGUCCGGUCCGGACCGGACCGUCGGCGGCCAGUCGAAACGUCAGCUCGGACCGCGACUGGACCGGCUCGGACCGUGUCCAUCCUGACCCACGGCCGUCUUUAGGAAUUGAGGGGGGUGCGAAAUGAAAAUGAUGCCUUGAAAUCUGAAAAAUUCUUGUAACUAAAGUACUCUAAAGGAUGUCAUACAAUAUGUGAAAUAUAAACCUGCUUGGUCUUAAUACCUAACUAUCUUCAUUAAAUAUAUGGUAUGUCAUACAAUAUGUGAAAUAUAUCUGAUACUCCUAACCUUUGAUUAAUCUGCAAAUUAAUCAUAAUUGUUAGAAACUAAUUAGUAGAUUAGUUUAUUAGCAAAGGGAUGUGUCCAACCCUGAACAUGCGUGUCUCUUCUCUCUCUCUAUUGCUAACACGCACCUGUUCUGGAGGGAUGCCUCUGAACAGAUAUCUCUUCUUCGCACCUCUUUCAGAUGUAUAUAUACUUGAGAAUCAAUAGAAACACGACUAAUCGUCCAUUCACUUUCAUUCAAUCUCGUUUUACUUUAACACGUUGUCAGCACUUUGCCCUAACCUAGAGCGAUUAGGCACCAGGAACGAGAAGAAAGGAGGCCAUCCCUUGCCUCGACGGAGACGGCCACCGGUCGGUGCGUAACAUGGCCAUCCCGCCCACGAGCAUCAAGGCGCGGCCUCGACCUCUCCCACCGACGCACCAACCAGACAACGCCCACGGCUUAGCCAUGGCCCUCGGCCUCGGCGCAGAGGCAUCUCCAACUGACUGCUUCCAUCACGGAGCGCGCGAUGGCCCUCGACUCUGUCGCUUCUUCCCCAGGCGCGGCGGCCUUCAUCUGAGACACCGCCUCUUCCGAUGCGGCACCCUGGCAGCACAGGCGUCCAACGGUCGGGAUGAGCGACCGCACUCUACAGCGACGCCCCCCGGCGAGCGUAUUUGGCGACGGCUCCCCAAGCCCUCCGGAUCGAGCAAAUCUUCAGUACGGACGAAACGAGGCCCAACCAAGAAGCUGGAUGACGGUGAGAGAUACAUGAUUGAAACAGUCUCAAAUGUCGGGCAAGCAAUUGCUCCCACAGAUGUAAAGCAGAAGUUUGUGAAGGCAUGCAGAGUUGUUGUAAGGGACCACAUCCCUAUCACCACUCGAGAAUGGAUUAAGCCAAGGGAGGAAGGAGUCUCAUAUGUCGGCACAGCAGCCAAAGAAAACCUUUGGAGAAAGCUCAUGCUUCAUUUCACCCUGUCGGCGCCAGAGGUGGAUCCAGAUGAGGAGGAGCCAAAUGAGGAGGAAAUGAAGAGGUGAAAAGAGGCCCUAGAGAAAAAAGUCAAGGAGUGGGCUCUUAAGAAGAUGGCCGAUCUAUUCAGGGGCUGAAAAAAAAGAUUGCACCAGGAUUUUAUCUUGAAAGAUAAGACUCCAGAUUUCGAUCACGGCUAUGAGAAGAUUAAAGACUACUGGCCGAAUUUGUGGCGUACAAGAAAUUGAAGGACGCCUUGAAAAAGUCUGCAACAAAUAGGAUGAAUGCAGGUAAGAAGAAGUACCACCAUAUUAUGGGGCCUGGUGGCUACGGCGGUAAGAUGGCUAAGUGGGAAGAACUUGAGGCAUCAUUUCUGGACAAUAAUAUCACUCCACAGCCCUUAAGAUGGCUCGAACGGGUAAGAAACUGGUUUUACGGGCAGGGGGGCUUGUUGGACGCAGAAGGGAAGACAAUAUAUAACCAAAGACACAAAUAUAAUCCCCUAUCCAUCGAGGAGAUUAGACAUGCAGUACAGGAUGUUGAAGAGGGACAGUUCUUACCCGAUAGAGAGAACGACGAGCUCACACGCGCCCUUGGGAAUAAGGAACACAAAGGGUGAGCACGAGGCUUACCAGGCUCCCCGCCGUGGAUUCUUGCGUUCUCCGAGGAAAGGAAGAGAUUUAUCGAUAGAAGCCAUCACAGGAGAAAGGAAAAGGAGACACGUGAUAAUUAAAGCGGCUGAGGCACACCGGCUGCAUAAUCUAGAAGAAGCAGUAAAGCGGCUGCAGCAGGAUCAAAUCGACAGAGAACAAGGUAGCGGCCAAUCUCAGCGGCUCAUGAUAGAAGCUGCAUCGAAUCGGAAAAGCAGUGUCGCUUCCAUGCAGCUCCAAGAUGAUGGUGAUGAUGCACUAACGACGGAUCCUCCUCGUCGCUACCCAGUGGAUGAUAUCACAGAGAGCACACCUUGUGAGCUAAAGGUGAAACUUGCUAACUUAAGGUUGACGGUGGCGGUCGGCAUGGCCAUACCAAUUGGACAUAAUCCAACUUGGCAUUGCUCUCCAGUUCCAGAAGAUUACGCUGUCGUCGCGGUGGAUGAAGUGAUGAAAGAUUAUGAGGAGCUGAAGCUCGACCACCCUACAGGUGAAGAUAGGGAUUUGACUCAACUUGGAGAAGUCAAGAAACAAACCGUUGUAUGGCCAAAGGAGGACAUCUUGCUUCCAAAUUGGACGCCAAGGCCACCGACUCCUCAUAGCAGCAAUCCUUCUUCGCCUCCACCUCACCAGUCUCCACCGUAACCGUCGUCUUCGCCGCCUCACCAGUCUCCAGCGCAACCGUCUCCACCGCCCCGUCAGCCGUCUCCGUCCACUGAGGAUCAGAGCAAAAAAGCGGAAACGUACCACCACUAAUAGUGGCGGCAGAAAGUUCCGAUCACCGAAACGUAAGUUGUCACCCCUCCCAAAAGUACCUCAUAUGGAUAUGGAGAAGAGACCUUGAGACUAUACUGGAGAGGACAAUAUUAAGAGGGCAGACGCCCAGCAUCAACAGUGGAAGGCUGAAGUGGCUAACAAGAAGAAGCCGGAAGAACCAUAGUACCCGAACACCCCAGAAGAUCACGGCGCGUGCGUGAAAAUGCUGAAAAACCUUGCAGAUCCCCCGCCAUCGUUGCCAGCAGACUAUGAACGCUCUAUUCCCAAGUCGACUCAGGCAAAAAAGAGCGGUUGAACAAUAGUACGUCCAGCGGGAAAUCAGUUGCCCAGCUCGGACAACAGAAAAAACAAUCGCGCCCCCGCUCAAAGUGUAUUCCGAUACAAAGGUGUGCUCGAGUGGAGCUGCGGUCAAACAGAGGAAUGAUGAAACAGCUGCUAUCGAUCCGGAGUUUGUUGCAAUAUACGUAGAAGUGGCCAAGGCUCAAGGCAUGUCUAUUUCAGAGUACUUAGACCAUCUGCAGGAAUUCGCUGACGUAACAUACGUGUACCGGUACGAGUCUCCUUUCGUCAAAUCUGAGUUAGUCAACAAGCUACCAACCAAAAUGCGAAGAUUGCAUGCCUAGUACAUGCAAGCAUGUACUAAACAUCAACACUGGAUCUACGUUGCAUAUGAAGACGAGCAUUUCUGGAGUGGACGAGACGUGCUAAUGAUUGAAUUCGACGAAUUAUUUCAGUUAUACAAACAAGGCGCCCUCGACAAAUCUAUCAUCAGUGUCUUUUUUUUGUAAGUAUUAUUAAUUUAUAUCAUUAAGUUUUACUCAGCUCGUUCUUGCAUGUAUAAUCUUACUCAUCACUAUAUUAAUUUUGCAGAAUGAAGAUUCUCGAAUGCAAAAGAGGACAAAUGUAUGACAUUGGGUUCAUUAACCCAUAUUACAAUCAUCAUCAAAGUCUCGCAACGAAUCCCCGCAAGACAGAGAAUAACUUGGUACAAGGGUUAAGGUUUUGCAGUACCAAAAGGGAAAUAUUAUUUCCUUACAACUUCAAGUGAGUGUUACUAUACACACAUUCUAUUUUCGUUUACUCGAUGUUAUUAUAAGUGUACAUAUAAUUGACUCGUUAUGCGUGCGCAGAUUCCACUUUAUUUUAUUAAUCAUUGUACCUGACGAGGGACAAGUAAUAGUCAUGGACCCGAAACCCACACCCCUCAUUGAAUGGGCGAACAUGUAGGAAUGUCUCCAGAGGUAAUUUUAAUAAUUAUGACACUAUAUCGGCAACUUCUCGUUCAUUUUCUGAUAGCAAGGAAUUAAUAUAGAACUCCUUUAUUCAUUUCCUUUUCUUGGCAGGGCUUGGAAACGGUUCACCGCCAAGGCUCGAGGUGAUUGGAAGUCAGAGCUUACAUUUAAACAAAUAGAUGUAAGUAACUACUAGCUAGAUCCGCACAUCUCUUUAUUCUAGUUUCAAUACCAUUAUAAUUCUUGAUUAUGUUUUUGAUUGAACUCUGUUCUCGUAAAGUGCUUGAGGCAGGAACACGGGAACAAUUUAUGUGGAUCUAUGUUUGCGAGUUCAUUCGACAGACAACCCAUCAGAAGGGCAAAACCCGAGACAUAAAAAAACCGAAGUACGAUAAACAAUACUCACAACUUUAUUUUAUUACCGUGAAUUGUGUUUGUUUUCAUUGAUAUAUAUAUUGACCCCUUCUUUAAAUUAGAUCGAACAGUUGCGGGACGGUCUUCUACCACAGAAACGUGUAUGAGCAAUUCAAGAGGAAAUUGCCGGAUUCUUAGAUGCAGAGGUCCUAGAUGUUAAGGGAGAAUAGUAUUGUCAUUCGACGGAAAUGAUAUGAAAUGAUAUAGUGUAAAAAAGAUGCAUACAUGUGCAUGUAACUUGUGUCUACAUUUUAUAAAUAUGUUCGACAAAGCACGACGGAUGAGAUGGUGUAAUAUAUUUGUGUCGAUGUGCAAUAUAGUUGUUCCUUUAUUGUUGUGUAUGUACCAUCCAAUUUAGUGCAAAACAAGAAUUAAAAAAUGCCUAAAACAAAUAAAUGGAAAAAUAGAGGGCAGCAAAAUAGCCCAUCCAAUUUAGUGCAAAACCUUAAAUCCAAAAAUUGCUCAGAAAAAACAACAAAGAAAUAGCCUCGGUUCGUAAUACGAAUCGGGACUAAUACCCCUCCCCCCUCGCUCCCAGCCCCGCCACGUGAAAGGCCAUUAGCCCCGGUUCAGGGCCGAACCAGGGCUAGCAUUAGUCCCGGUUCGAGAACCGGGACUAAUGGCUCAACCGGACCGGGCUAAAAGCCUUUUUUUACUAGUGUAGUGGGUGCCCGCCACGUCGGCAAGCCACACGUGCAUUUGGUAUGGUGGAUAUGGUAGAAUAUGAUUGUAUUUGCACGCCCGUGCAAGUUUGAUGAGAAAAAACAUGUAUUUUACAAGUUUGUGCAUCGUUAAACUGGACGUUAGAUAAAAGUUGUAUGACUCAGCGCGAUGUUAUUUCCCUCUUUUCUAAUCUUCUCGGGUAGCAGGGUGGUGUCGGUCGCUAGUUUUUGGGCUGUAUUAAUUGUUGCUUUGGUUUGGAGUGCACAGAGGAAUACGACUGCCAUCGGGCGGCCUGAGGAGCCAUACGUGAAUGCUGUCUCGGUCUUGCUUGGUAUUUUUGCAUGCUAGGUGUUUUGGUCCUCCAUCCAAUCCUCUAGUUUAUCUCCCAUCGCCGUCAGACCUUGGAGGAGGACGAGUUGCGCUUGUGCUGAAGUUGUCUGGUCAAGAAGUGAGCAGACGACUAGGGAGAAAUUCGUCUUGGCACGCACGCGGGGAUAUGUCCUGACUUUAUUUAUCGCGACGGAUCAAACUUGUCCAUCGACCAAGGGAGCUUGAGCUCUGCUCGACCGUGCGGUCAGCCGCAUGCCACAUGGCAGGCCUCCCAUGGCGCUCAUCUUCUUCUUGCAUUGGCCUCCUCCAUCUUUGCAGCUUCUUGACCCCAUCCCGCAUCUUCUUUCCUUCCUACCUACUCCCUUCUUUCUGGUUUAUAGAACUCAUCUUAAAAAUUUUAGAUUUCCAUUAGGCUCAUUUUUAGUCUAAUUAAAUUAAAGUGCUUUGAGUCUCACGCCAUAUUUAAUUCAUAAAGUUUAGAAAAAAGAGAUGAGUGGCUAUGCUUGCAUUGUUUUUUACAUCCAUCAUGCAAGUCCAAUAAAAAGGAGGAUGCUGCAUUUAUUGCCUUAAAAAUUGAAUAUGUGAGAAAUGUUUCAUUGGCUAGUUAAAACUAGUGUCAUCCACUCACAAUUCAUCUUGAUUGAUGAGAUUUCAGAUUUGAGCCGUAUAAAUUGAAAAAAAGGGAGUAUAUUAAUUUGCUCUCCAGUUCGGGCACCUACGUCCCCACGCGCGCGCUUCCUUUGCAUAUCGCCGACUAGAGCAUGCAGCAACUGACGGGUAGCGUCGGGCUGGACGCAUAGCCAGCAGCAUGGCUUGUCCCGCAGACAUGGCUGUGGAGCAGUAAGGUAGUAGUAGAUCGAUGCAGUCAUGCGUGGGCACGGACCACGGAGACAGACAAUCCUGGACAGAUUUUAAUCGUGCAUAUAGUCAGAGAAAACGACGCACGCGGGGGGCGCGCGGAUAUAUAUGAAACGUCUCCUAGUGGUACGAUACAAACAAAACGUUGCGAUCGGCCUUGGGUCCAGCGGGUUAGUUUAUAAGCGGGUGAACGACCGUGCACCCACUUCUCCAUCUUUGUUUAUACUACUUUUUUUUUGAACUCAUCUUUGUUUAUACUACUGUGACAUAUAUUUGGGUGGAAGCUGCCACCUAGGACUGAAUGCGGCAUCAUCCAUCCAUUCUUAUCUUUUGUGGUCGUCACUCCAAUAAUUGAUGUAAAAGCGGGACAUCGUUGCAGGCUCUUUGAAAGAAAGUUGUAUCUUCAUCUUAAAAUUGAAAAAAAAAAUAUAUAUCAUAUAAACAUCGUAUCCAUCUAAAAAGAACUAUAAAACUUUUCUUAAAAAAAACAAAGUCUCACUUUUAUUUAAAAAAAUUUAAAAAAAUCAAUAAACUUUCUCACUGCGGCCAACCAGCAUGUGCCAUGUGCCGUAGCUGGUUGGCUUUUGAAAAGAACCCUAAAAAAUCAAAAGCUUUCUCAGAGUGGGCAACCAGCAUGCGCUAUGUGGCAUACUUGGUUAGCCACCAUUGUAGUGAUGCUUAAUGUGUUGGAUAAGAGCAUCUACAGCCGGACCCGUCAAAUCCGACCCCUCUAACGCCCGCAGACCCGUCCGCGGACACUAACCGGACACGCCUUAAAUUUUCCUCUUCACAUCCAACUCAUAUUUCAUUCCUCUUAUCCAUACAAAAGCAUGCAGAAUAUAUCCUACAAACUACUACUGUAAUCUUCCUUCCUCGUCGAAGAUGGCCUGGAUCGGAGCCUGAGCCGCGUGCGCCGCCUCCUCCGACGCCCACGGUUCUUCUAUCUGACGCUUGGCCACCACAGCUGACUCAGAGCAGAUGGAGUUGAAGAUGGCCAACUCCUCCGGCCACAGAUCGACCAUCGUCGGUGGCCUCCUCCUCCGGCUCCUACGGCAUCGCCUCCUCCUCCGACGCCUGUGGCUCCUCCUCCGGCUCCUACGGCAUCGCCUCCUCCUCCGACGCCUGUGGCUCCUCCUCAGGCUCCUGCCCCAUCUCCCCCCUCCUCGAAAUCCACCUUCGGUUCUAGAGGUAGCCCCGAUUCCCUUCGGAUUCGGACCUGCUGAAGGAGGAAGAGACGAUGCUGGAUCGUGUAAUGUCGAUGAUGUGGCUGACGGGCUCGAAAAGGGAAGUGCUCGGAUGGCGGUGGAGAGAGGAAGGAGGCGGUGCUAGUAGUGGGGGGGGGGGGGGCUCGCCAACUUAUAUAGCCGACCCCGACCCCAAAGCGGCGCCACACAGCGUUCACACCAUACCCGACGGUCGAGGCGUCCGUCGGACCGUCGAGUUUUUCGGCGAGUCCACGUGAGGCCUUGUUGUCAGGCCAACAUGGCGGGCGUACUCAGGGCACACCCGAGCUCCCCUGUAUUCACCCUAAUUUGGGCUGGAAAUGAGAGUGCCGGUCAACCUGUGCGUUUGAGACCAGUUUAAGAUCGACUCAUUUAGGUUAUUUUUUUAUGACUGGACAGUGACUGGACGGCCUGCACGGGCGUUUGAGGGGUCCGGCUAUAGAUGCUCUAAGCAAUCCAGCCCGCAGAACCAUAAUAGGUGGAGCCAUGGAGAAGAGAAACGAGCAAUAACUUUUGUUUAGAAAUACUUUUUCUUUACUCUCUUCAUAUUAAAUCUCAUUUUAAGCAAAUACUCCCUCAAUACGAAAAUAUUUGCCGGAGAAAUGGAUGUAUCCAAACAUAUUUUAGUUCUAGAUUCAUUUAUUCUUAUUCAUUUCUCCAACUAGUAUUUCCGGACGGAGAGAGUAUGUACUUUAUGUGACAUAAAAAAAAACGAACUACUACUCCCUCAAUCCAUAUAUAAGGCACAAUAUGUUUCUCAAGAUUUAUUUUGACCAUCGAUAAGGUCAACAAUUCAAAAUUUAUACAACUGAAAACUACUUUAGAAUGUGAAUUCACUUGUAUACCUUUUGUGACAUACACAUCAUAUAUAAUUGGUUUAAUAAGUGAUCAAAGUAAACCUCAAAAUUCAUAUUAGGCCUUAUAUAUAUUUAUAACACAUCAAGCAAAUAAAGAAGCAUCGUACAAAAAUUACACAAAUAUUUAUAACACAUCAAACAAAUAAAGAAGCAUCGUACAAAACAUUACACAAAUAUUUAUAACACAUCAAACCAAUACAUUAUGAGCCUGUAUUCCAUACUAAUAAUAACAAUUUGGUUAUUUAUUAUUUCAAACUAGAAGAAAAACUAUUAUUUUAAAGCCAAGGUAGCAUUCCGUCUUUUAAUUUCAUGUCUAGUAAAUCAAGCGUACAAUAAAGUUAUUAUGAUUUUCUUUUUCAUGAGAAUGAUGACCACCGAGAGAUAGCAAUAGAUCUAUCCCCACACAUCAUGACCCUAAUCUGAAAACCGAACACAUAUAGUGAUAUAGAUUGUCUGAUGUACGGCUUCGGGUUCAGGUUAAGUUCACAAUUUGGCUUUAUGGUUUCUUGGGUUGCAAGUUCAUCUAGUUUCUAUCAUUCAACAUAUGCUGUAGCUGAAAGAACCAAUUGGGCCUAGUCCAAUUUCUUCCUCAGGAAAUUCGAUCGGCCCUUCGGAAGAUGAUUAAUUCUCUGUUUUCUGCUCCUUGUUCACCAUCUGCACAGGAAAGCAAGAAGAAAGACAUUGUACCCUGAAAAAAAGAGAUUGUAACUUGAUUGUGCUUCAUUAUCUAAUAACAGGGAGCACAUGCCCACAAACUAUGGCAGAAGACAUGCAUACCUAACCCUCAGUGCUGGCAUGGUCACACCCCACCACCGGCGGCGAGUGUUCACCGGUGGCCGGCAAGAAAGCAAACCAACAAAGCAGAUAUAUUAUUUUCUCCGUUUUGGAACCAACGAAAGCAUCAAUCUCCUCGGCAUCACAGGAAUAAUUUUGUUCUGCUGCUGCAGGCUGGACAGCUUGCACAAGGGCCAUUGGCCUUUACCGCAGCAAGUGGACAUCUUAGUUUUCAAGAGGAUGAAAAGGCACAUGCUCAGCAAGUACAAUAGAGCUGAGUCAGCUGGCUAUAAGAAAUAAACUAAUAUAUUUUUGUUUAGUUAAAGGAAAGAGAAGAUGAGAGAGAAGCUAAGCGGACUCUUAGCUAAGAGCCAGCUCUAACACGUGCUCCAAUGUCUUUUGCGAGUAUGAAAGAUGGACCAUAUAAUAAAAAGUAGUACAUUUUUGCAAUGAAUUAUUGUACAUGUUAGCUAUAAGAUGGGCUAUAGAUGACAUGACAAUCUUAUAGCCAGCAGCUGGAUAUACUAUUGUACUUGCUCUAAACGGUUUGGAGAAUUAACUGCACGUGCCCGUGCCCGUGCCCAGCUUUUACUGCAAACAAAGUGAAAACAGGAAGAAAUAUGCAGGUCAAAGGGUACAGGAACUAACAUCCAUGUCAAAAGUCACGCACAAGUGACUCUGCUCCUGCCAAUUUUACUCGCAACUAGGCUGGUUUCCUCUCUCACAACACACAGACAGACAUACACACACACACUCCCUCUCUCUCUAUUACCCUUCUCUCUGGGAGGAUCACACCUCUACCUCAGGAAGUGGGUUUGAUCACCGAUCUUCUGCAAACUAUGGGAUAGUCUUUCCUACUGAGGACAGUUGCUUGCCUCUGCAAUUAACUAGAAUUGUAAAAGCAGCCUCUUGCUUCUGCAAUUCUAGUGGACAGUUGCAGCAGAGAGUUGUUGUUUCCAAUGGAGGGAUUAUGAUUCAAAAUUCAGAUGCAGCAUCUCAGGAUGGGGACAUUAAUUCAUCAUCUUCCACACAGGCUCAUGUAGUUUAGACAGCAAGGGUGAGGGCUGCUCAACUCCGUCGAAGGUAUCUGGUUUCCUUUGAAGCGAUGAUGGAGGAGAGUGCCACGGCAAGGGUGAGAGCUGCUCAACUCCGUGGAAGGUGUCUGGUUUCCUUUGAAGCGAUGAUGGAGGAGAGUGCCCCCGUAGAGUGAGCAUUUCUGAACCUUCUUAUUCUUCAAUCAUGUAUGCAUACAUGAUUGAUCUGGCAGAUGCUGGGGCCAUGAGCAGAAAUUGGUCGACAGCAAGGAAGAUUGAGGAGCCUGUCCUCGUGCUCAACUCAUGGCGACAUGCCAUACCAACGACCACCCGGACCGGCAUGUCCUUGGGCGGUCCAACGGCGACGUUCAAUAUGUAAGACCUCCUUAGCUGCUUAAUCCCCAGCUAACCUUGAUACUUCUCCCUCGAGGGCACCACAGCCCCAAGCCGUAACAGAGUUGAGAUACUGGUGCCCGUUCUGUAAUCAGGAUGCUUAUUUCACACUGGUAUUGAUGUUCCCUUGAUAUCCAGGUCUGCAAAGAUACGAAGGAUGAUGAGUGCUUGCCACCAGCUUUCAUGGCCGCUCGCGGGAGAGACAUGCUUCAGGCGAUACCGCGGUAAUUUUUGAACUUUAGUUAUCUAUUUCUCAUCUUCUGAGAGGAAGCAGCGGUUAUUUUCCAGGAUUUGACUUCUUUUCACAUCUAUUUGUAUUAUGGAGAGGAAAAUGAGUUCUAUUUCGAGAAUUAAGAGUUUGAGUGGGAUGCGGUGCCGGCUUUUUAUGUCUCCUCCGUUUGCUCGUUCUUCAACUCUUUUGUGGUAUAAAGAUGGGUUUCCAAUGAGUUCUAUUUCGAUAACUAAGAGUUGGAGCGGGAUGAGGUACCAGCUUUCAGCAGGGGGUCUUCUCCAUCUGCAGUCCAACUAUCUCAAAUCAACAUCCCUACUCCGCCCACUCGUUCUGGACCAACUCUUUUGUUCUAAUCAUGGCUUUCCAAUCAAACUAGAGAAACAAGUGCCCUUCACUGCACCCUGUGAAACAGUGGACAAAGGGAUGAUGACACAAUAACCACUAUAUACUGAAUCAGAGGUUAUUUUUUAACCGUAUUUUUUGGUAACAGAAGGCAAAGUAUCAAUAUCAAUGCGUAAAAUAAUAAAACACUAAAUACGACACAAAAACAACGAAGAUGGGCAUUGUUAAAGUAUAGAAAGUUGAAAACUUAUAUUAUACCAUAUAGAAUCCUCAAUAUGGCAUUCAUGCAUCUUCUACUGUGCCACCCUUUCUGCAGAGCACACACACUACAAUGAAAAUAUAAGAGUUAGAAUUUCUAUAAUGAAUGAAUAAUAGGGAAUCUUUAGAGUCUUGCAAACAACAGUAAAAAAAUGGUUUCAGGCUUGACUAGUAGCAGAUAAUAAGAAUCUGCACAAAAGGGUUGCAAUGCCCACCCAAGAUCAUAAUGAUUCACAUACACAAUGACAAGAUGAUAAUGGUCAAGUCUGCAUUAGCAUAUAGCUAUAAAUAUGAGGAAAAAACAUGGAAAACUUGCAACAAUUGAGCUAUAUAAGUGGCCUACUAAAUAAACUCCAUAGUCUUUUAGUUCUCAUUUCUAAAAUGUGAAAAAACGAAGCAAGAAAGAUCUGAAUGAUGCUCUGUUGAGCAAAGGAACAAUAAAUAUAGGUGAAGAGGUUUUGUAAAAUCGUUGAUGUAAGUUUUGGUAAACCACGAACACAAAGAACAGCAUAUCUUGCACAAAAACCCAUAGAGGUAAGUCUUCCUAUACCAAGAGCACGAACAACACAAAAUGCCCGAAAACAAUUAAACUCCCUACCUUCAGAUCUAUAAAAAGUGCAUGUACCUGAAUCUCUGAAUAAUAAAACUGAAAUGAGUCUUGCCCGAAGCUCUACCUUCAAAUUAAGUACCAUUUGGCUAUAUGCCUAUAUGUAUUUUUCUUAUAAGCCAAACCAUAUGAAAAAGUUGAUUUCAUCAUGGCUCUUAGUAAAGGGCAGCCCGGUGCAUAUAGCUCCGCUUGCGCAGGGUCCGGGAAGGGUCCGACUGCUCUGAGUCUUCUGUAUGCAGCCUUUCCCUACACUUCUGCAAGAGGCUUUUUCCAGGACUCGAACCCAUGACCUCAUGGUAAUAUACAAACUAAUCAAACAUGUACAAACUCAAGAACAUUUAUGCAUCUGUGGUUUAGUGCUUUUAAAUAGUUUAAAAACACGGAGUACCUAGAUAGUUCCACCAUGGACAAUGAUACUUGUUUGAUAAAGCCACCCCAUUCACAUUGUUGUAUCCAGUACCUGCAAGGCAAAGUGACACUAAUUCAAACCCCAAAACAUAUGUUCGCAAAUUUACCUGGCAAGCCACCUUUGUGUACAAUGUAAAACAUCAUAUAAAUCAAAGAACUUUAAAGCAAGUAACUUGAUUUCUUAACACAUUACAAUAAAAUACAGCUCCAAUUAUCCUAGCGCCUAUUUCCAUCAGCAACCUAACAUCCAAUAAACACAUAGCAGAGCUAAUAAAAGAGUUGUACCACUGUUGUUGCUCAGGUCAACAGAAAAUACUAUUUUAAAACUUAGAUAUAAUUAGCCCCUGCCUCUUUUAAGCAAUAAAAGAGUCGUAUGUUCGGCUACACUAUAGCCUCAUCGGAUAAUAAACCCAUUUGAUGACGAAGUUGUGAUACUUGUGAAUUUGCGCUAUACCUUUCCAGCAGAGCUUGUGUUUCUACCACAGUAGAAACAAACCAAGCGGGAUGUGUUGGCAUAAUAGAAGAAAUGCAAAGCUUUUACUGUUUCUUUAUAUGACACUGAGAUAAGCUACACCAAAAUGUAUCUCCUAAUGGUAUGCAGGUACCAAUUGAGCAUUUAGUACACCCAGUCGGUCUUCCCCGGAGGUAAUAUAACAACGGCAGCAGAACGGGGCUCACUCACAUUCUCGGUAUCCAGGGACAGAUAUUUGGUCGCGUAGCACUAUUGUCUAGCUUAAGUUUGCUCACUUAUUGAUCUCUGCAUACUCAACAAUAUAAGUCACUUCAUCACUGUCCAUAAUAUGAUAUAAAUAUUGUGGCACCCUAACAUAAAACAAACAGCAUCAUUACUAUGUAGUAGCACGAACACGACCUGUGUCUUGGGACAUUUAUGUUAUUCUUGCUUCACAAUGUCAAAAUAAAUAUUUGUUAAAAAAACUUUGUGGCUCUGUCAUCAGUAGGCACAUGCCCACAUGACAUUGUGAUUUGAGAGACAACAAUAAGUACACCCUUCAAAACUGGAGAUUGAAAAUAAUUACAGCAACAAAUCUGAGAGCUAGACUGUACAUCACUGCUAUAUCAUUUCGGUCAACAAGUAAAUUAAUCCAAUAUAGUAUAUUGUGUAAACUAUAGAGGCCUAAUGGGACAUCACAACUAGCCAUUGAGGUGCAAAAUAAAUAAUAAAAUCCAGUAAAUAAUUGGUACGGUAGUUGUUUCUCAAAUUUCCCUCUGUAGUACUGUUAACCAAUCUGAACAUAAAGCAACUAUGGAGGAAGAAAAUAAAGGGGACAUGGAUCCCAGCCAUUAUCGAAGGCAAGCACAAUGCUGAUUUCUUUACCAAUCUGAACAUGCUCUAGGAGGACAAAAGUAAAGGAGUGUGAGUAGCUACAGUGGCAUUUUGCCAGCAUCAAUUUAUUGAACAUAGUUAGUACUCCCUCCAUUCACAAAUGUAAGUUGAUUUGGAUAUUUCAAUAUGGAGUAUAUACGGACUGAAAUGAGAGAACAAACACACUAAAACCUGUCUAUAUACAUCCGAUUUAGAAAAAAAAUAGAACAUCUUAUAUUUAUGAAUGGAGGGAGUACUUCUCUAUCUGCAAAAACCUCGUCUCAUAAUAUAAGAGCGUUUUUGACACUACACUAGUGUCAAAAACGCACUUAUAUUAUGGGACGGAGGGAGUAAUACAUAGACCUAUCUCUUUGCUUCUCUUGCAGCACCAAUGUUUACACCUUCCCCCUACUUAUGCGAUAUUUAUUUUGUAACACAAAACAAACAUAUAUUCCUUUUGUACCCAAUUGCAAUGAUCAGUAGCAAGCAGUUUACAUCCCACAACAAGCGCAAUCACAAAACUAAACUGAAAGCCCCGAGAUGAAUAAAUCCAUAAAUAAAAAAUUUCAAGCGGCGAUUUUUCUUUCCAGAAAAGAAAGAGGACUACGGCAACAUUCAAAAUUAGUCCAUCAACUGGGUGCUGUACAAAAUAUGGCAGAUGAGAUGAAUACACCUGCAAAUAAGAUGGGGACAUAAGGUAUGAGCUUACUGAAAUACUAAUGCUGCAAACAACAAGUAUACAAAUUUGCUAUACAUAAAAGUUCAGCACUACAGGCAAAACAAUGCAUAGAAAUCUAGAGAAUGCUUACCUUAAUUUAAACACAAAUCUUUCAAAAUAAUCAAGAAAUAAAGUUGAACCAAUGUGACAAGUCGAGUGAUAUGUAUCUGAGAAUAAAAGGACUGGUAUUCAAAUAAUAAAAGUACGGCCACUAAACCUGCCACAAUAUCCAUCACUUACAUACCACAAACUGUACAAACAUAAGCAUACUACUUUCAUCUAGGAGCUAAUGUAAUAGAGAAAGACAGAUAAAUACAAUAGUUGGCAUGUUGGGAGUUCAUGGAAUCGAGAGUGUAACUACAUUGAACCCAGGGACAGCCACACAUUCAAUAGCUGACAAACAGGAGCAGAAAAACCAAGAGACAAAUCAAAUCAGGCUAAAAAAAGAAUAUUUUCAGUGAAGCUAGUUUACCUAAGGGGGGUUCGUAGGCUGGUGCCAUUGCCUUUAUGAAUAAUUUAGCAUUACUUGUGGUCAUCACUAGAAUGAAGCAAGAACAGAUGCUGCCAAUCACCCUGGUGCAUCAGCUGCAGAAAACCCGAAUCUAGAUACCUGUAUUGAACACCAUAUGCACUUCCUGACUCAUGGCAAGUUUUCAGGAAGAAGACCACCAUCAUAGCUAAGCUAAGCUAAGCUUAGUCACGGUGAUAGUAAACCAAACAUGCUGCAGUCCAGGCACCAAAGAAAUGAACAUCAGGGGAUGCAAAAUAAAAUAUGAAAAUUGUACGUCGCAAAGCCGAAAGGGUGAUGGGUGGAUGCAUCCUUGCAUCAUAUUUGAUGAAGAUGUCCAAGCAAAAUAACUCAGCAACCAUCACAGCUAAGCUAAGCUCAGUCAAAGUGACAGUAAACCGAACAUGCUGCAGUCCGGCCACCAAAGAAAUGAACAUCAGGGGAUGCAAAAUAAAAUAUGAAAAUUGUACGUGAUGGGUGGAUCAGUGGAUGCAUCCUUGCAUCAUAUUUGAAGAUGUCCAAGCAAAGUAACUCAGCAACCUUCUUUGUCUCAUGAUUAAUCUGGACACUAAUUUCAUUAUUUCAGUGGCAUUUGCUUCAGAAAAGAGAUGCUCUCAACCAUAGUGACUCUAUCCUGCAGUCCAGAGCAAAACAAAAAAUCAAAUUAGCUGCUUAUUAAGGCACUGAAAGAUGAAAUUAAGAAGGUCAAUCUAUUGACAGCUGAAUUAAGAGCUAUGUAGUGUACAUGCUCCAGGAGGACAAAAGUAAAGGAGUGUGAGUAGCUACAGCAGCAUUUUACCAGCACCAAUUUAUUGAACAUAGUUAGUACAUCUCUAUCUACUAAUACAUAGGUCUGUCACUUUGCUUCUCUUGCAACACCAAUGCUUACACCUUCCACUGCAUGUAACAUUCAGAUUACCCUUGCGAUAUUUAAUUUGUAAAACAAAACUAACAUAUAUUCCUUCUAUACCCAAUUGCAAUUACCAGUAGCAAGCAGUUUACAUCCCACAUCAAGCGCAAUCACAAAACUGAACUUAAAGCCCCGAGAUGAAUGAAUCCAUAAGUACAAAUAUUCAAGCGGCGAAUUUUCUUUCCAGAAAAGAAAGAGAUGUUAAUCAGCGGUAAUUUUUGUAAGUGGCAAUUUUUGAAGGGGAGCAUUGGCGCAGCGGCAAAGCUUUGCCUUGUAACAAUGAGGCGACGGGUUCGAGUCCGGGAACCAGCCUCUUGCGGAAAUGUAGGGAAAGGCUCUGUAGAAAAGACCCAAAGUGGUCGGACCAUUCCCCGGACCUGGCGCAAGCGGGAGCUACGUGCACCGGGAUGCCCAUUUUCUAAAAGGAAGACGGUUAUGUAAACAUUUAAAAUUUUGCUUCCAAGUUCUAAGUUUCUAACUCAUGCUAUCUUAAGUGAAUCCAUCCAGCACAUAUUUCAAUUCUGAAAAUAUAACUACACCUGACUGCCAGGAAGAACUUUCUUGGAUCCAGGUUUGUGCAGUUCACGCCCUGCCUCAUAUGAGGGCAGCGGAUCGAUAAGUGGACAGCCCAAUGUGUCAUGCUGCAAACACACGAGAUUUCAUGGAGAAAUCCAACUGUUUUUUUUACCUCUGCAUCACCCAUAACUCGAAGAGAUCCACAUUAAUAGCAGAUGUGAAAACAAAAAUCACAGGCCAAGUAGUCCUGGGAAAACAGGAACUUGUUCAUAAAUGUUCAACUCUAAUAUACCACAAUGGAACAUGGCACCAUAAGAGAGAAAGUUUCCAUGUUCUCUGAGUUCUACUCAACUCGAGAUACCUGAAAGCUUAACAAAAAAACUCGUUUUCUUCGCGUAUAAGUUAUAACAGAACAAUGCAACUGAAAACUAGGUGUACGCUCUGCAUCAUCUCUUAAAGAUCCAAGAGUAUAUAGGCUACAAUGACAAGUCUUUCUGUAGUUUACCAUUCUGCAUAAAAGAACUAAUAAAUGCAUCAUACAUGGACAGUAAGACACUGAAUGUGUGAAAUCAUAAUCAUACAUGAGAACAACCUUCCUUCAGUACACUUCAAAUCCAUACUUUCCUAGGACAACAUAGCAAAGCAUAGAGUACUGAACCAAUAUAGCAGGUGUUCAGUUGUGCUCACCUUUCAUGAUCCCCAGGACAAUAAGACCACAGAAGAACAUGCAAGGUGAAACAACCUUCGUCAACUCAAUUUGGUGAUAGCUGACAAAAGAACAGGAGGAGUCCAUGCACAAGAUUAGUCCAUAUACUGGGUGGUGUACCAGAUAUGGCAGAUGAGAUGAAUACACCUGCAAAUAAGGUGGGGACAUAAGGUAUGAGCUUACUGAAAUAAUAAUGCUGCAAACAACAAGUAUAAAAAAUUGCUUUACAUAAAAGUUCAGCACUACAGGCAAAACAAUGCUUAGAAAUCUAGAGAAUGCUGACCUUAAUUUAAACACAAAUCUAUCAAGAUAAUCAAGAAAUAAAGAUGAACCAAUGUGACAGAUCGAGUGACAUGUAUCUGAGAAUAAAAGGAUUGUUAUUCAAAUAAUAAAAGUACGGCCACUAAACCUGCCACGAUAUCCAUCACAUACAUACCACAAACUGUACAAACAUAAGCAUACUACUUUCAUCUACUCCCUCCGUUCCAAAAUAUAAGACCUUUUAGAGAUUUCACUAUGGACUACGUACGGAGCAAAAUGAGUGAAUCUACACUCUAAAAUAUGUCCAUAUACAUCCGUAUGUAGUCUACAGUGAAAUCUCUAAAAGGUCUUAUAUUUUGGAACGGAGGAAGUAGGAGCUAAUGUAAUAGAGAAAGACAGAUAAAUACAAUAGUUGGCAUGUUGGAGUUCAUGGAAUCGAGAGUGUAACUACAUUGAACCCAGGGAUAGCGACACAUUCAGUAGCUGACAAACAGGAGCAGAAAAAUCAAGAGACAAAUGAAAUCAGGCUAGAAAAAGAAUAUUUUCAGUGAAGCUAGUUUACCUAAGAGGGUUUCUUAAACUGGUGACAUUCCCUUUAUGAAUUAUUUAGCAUUACUUGUGGUCAUCACUAGAAUGAAGCAAGAACAGAUGCUGCCAAUCACCCUGGUGCAUCAGCUGCAGAAAACCCGAAUCUAGAUACCUGUAUUGAACACCAUAUGCACUUCCUGACUCAUGGCACGUUUUCAGGAAGAAGACCACCAUCAUAGCUAAGCUGAGCUAAGCUUACUCACGGUGACAGUAAACCGAACAUGCUGCAGUCCAGGCACGAAAGAAAUGAACAUCAGGAGAUGCAAAAUAAAAUAUGAAACUUGUACGUUGCAAAGCCGAAAUGGUGAUGGGUGGAUGCAUCCUUGCAUCAUAUUUGAUGAAGAUGUCCAAGCAAAAUAACUCAGCAACCGUCUUUGUCUCAAGAUUAAUCUGGGCACCAAUUUCAGUAGCAUUUGCUUCAGAAAAGAGAUGGUCUCAGCCAUAGUGACUCUAUCCUGUAGUCCAGAGCAGAACCCAAAUCAAAUUAGCUGCUUAAGGCAUUGAAAGAUGAAAGCAGGUCAAUCUAUGGGCAGCUGAACUGAAUUAAGAGCUGUGUACUUUACAUAUCCAUUUAUAGUUUUAUAAUCAUUAAUACUCUGAAAGGAAUAAUCCCUAGCAAAAGACUAGAAAGAUCCAAAAGCAAGUGAGUAACUGUUAUUACGAGCAUUACUCUAUUCUCAACAAUAGUGAUCACCGAGAAGCAAGAAUACUGGACAAGAAUUACUGCCAUUUUGGUCCUGUGUUACCCAGACCCAAGCAUUGAAUGCACAUGUCAAUAUCUGCAAAGCAGUAAACAGCAACAGAGAAUAGACUAACUUAACUGCUCAUUGAUGCCAAAACUAGUAGUAACAAAUUUGAAGAUCCAUGGCAAGCAUCAGAAAGCGAGCAUCUGGAAGGAAAAUCAAUCAGCAAGGCAGUGUCUUGGUGUUAGGAGGGGGCUGCAGAUUCAGGUUUUCCCUUCAAAGGAUGCAGUAGGAGUAGUAUACACUAUACCUUGGUUCGCUAGGUUGUCGUUACCAUGGGUUUGGUGGAGAGCGCGUUGGGUACUACUAGCAUGUGAUCUUGGUCUCGAGCGCAUGGCCCAAGAAGGUUGGUGGUCUCCUCUUCGUCUUUCCUCGCCCUCUCUUCCUCCCCUUCCCAUUCCUCCUCAUCUUCCUCUUCCUUCCUGCAGGCAGCGAUGGCAGCUCGAAGGGGCGAGCCUGAGAGGAAGACAGGGGCAAGAAGAUGUAGGGGAGGAGGGCUCGGCCGCCGUGCCCGACGAAGAUGGCCACCACCGACGGAGGCAGCGGGUCCCGGACCGCCGCCCCACGAGACGAGACGAAGAGGGCCGGGAACGGAGGAGGCAGAUCCCUGCUGGUCCGCGGAGCCCGGAGCGCAGUUUGCCGCGCUGAAUAGGGGCGGCCGGGCGGCGGGCGGGGAGGUGGCGAGCGCCGAGCGGCGGCGGUGGAGGUGGCGAGGAGGCGCAGAAGGUUCAGAGCGGAUCCGAUUCGCAAAAGAAUAAAAAAAAAUCAGUGCCGAUCCGACGGACGGGGUCAACCGCGAGCCGAUCCGACGGACGAGACGUGGUCGCGUGAUAGGCCACGCCCACGGGAGCCCGUGAUAGCCCCCGCUUAAAACCCCGAGUCCCGUGCCAGUGCCACACACAGACGCGCACGCGUGGGCAAAACGCUAGCCUGAGUCCUGACCAUGGUGGCGGUGGCGGCGGCGGAGGCUGGAGGCGACUGGCAGGAGUGCCCGGUGAAGGAAGCGGUGCACGUGGAAGAGGGAGCGCUGGAGCUGGUAUGUUUCUUCAUAUUCUUUACUCUUUCUGCUGGUUCAGAUUACAUUAGAUUCAACAAUCGUUAGAUUUGAUUUGGUGGUUUAGACCGUGUUCGGUAAUCCUCCAGCUCCCGGAAUCCGCGGAGCUGCAGCUCCUGCUUUCUUAAACUGCAGCUCCACCAGCUGGAGCAGAGAGUUGGGGAGCGGCGGGAUACCGAACAGGGUAGGUUAGUAUUAUUACAUUAGAUCCUUCCGUGUGAUCAUAGAUCUGCGAAACUAGAUGUUGGACAAAGCUAGUUUUACUUGUAUACCUGUGGUGAUCUGCUUGGUUGAUGCUGUCAAGGCCUUGUUCUGUUUGGAGGGGGUCCAAGGGGGAUUGAGGGGCUGAUGGCUGAGGGGGAAUCAAAAUCAACCCCCUCCCUCCAACCCUACUUAAUUCCCUUGGCCCUGGGAGAUGGUUAACAGAACAAGGCCCAAAGGAUUGAGGAGAGAUCCCUGGAACUAAUCCAUGUUGCUUUUAAUCCAUAAUAAUAAUACUGUUAUUCUGGACAGCAUGUUCUCCUCUGACAUAUAUACCUGUAAAUUUUGCAGACGUGGGCUUUCGACGUGUUCGAUGUGAGUUGCCCUUUCACCCAAUCUCUGGAACUAAUCCAUGUCGCUUUUAUUAAGCAGUUUCGUUAUUCUGGACAACAGUUCUAAACAUAUACCACUUGUAAAUUUUGCAGGUGGGGCCUUUCGACAUGUUCUAUGUGAGUUGCCCUUUCACCCAAUCUCUGCAACUAAUCCAUGUCGCUUUUAUUAAGCCGUUUCGUUAUUCUGGACAACGGUUCUAAACAUAUAUCACUUGUGAAUUUUGCAGGAGGCGCCUUCCUGCGUGUUCUAUGUGAGUUGCCCUUUCACCCAUUCUCUGGAACUAAUCCAUGUCGCUUUUAUUAAGCCGUUUCGUUAUUCUGGACAACGGUUCUAAACAUAUAUCACUUGUGAAUUUUGCAGGAGGCGCCUUCCUGCGUGUUCUAUGUGAGUUGCCCUUUCACCCAUUCUCUGGAACUAAUCAUGUCCCUUUUAAGCCAUUCGGGUAUUCUAGACAGCAAUUCUCAUAUGUAAUUGUACAUUUUGCAGACUUGUGCACCCUCUGAAUUGAGGACUGACACCAAGUACAAUGCAAGGACUGGCAACAAGUUGUCGCCACUAGUGGUUCGCAACGGCGAACUGUUUGGUGCCAGAGAGAUGAACAUGGUAAUUAACAUGUCAAAAUUACUUUGGCAAAGUACCUGUCCAAUCUAAUGCGCUUCGAUAUGUUCAUGUCUUGGUAUGCAGUACUACUACUAAUGCACCUAGAAAACAUAAAUAUUGAUACCUUGUAUGCUUAUAUUUUUCCACUUAUAUCAAUUGAUAAAUGAAGCAAAGCAUCCUAGAAUGUUACUUGAGCUUUGUCAUGUAUAAUAGGACUUUGUACAUCUACUUGGUCACUGCCCUCUCUCAUUUAUAACUGAAAUGCUAUAAGAACUUAGCCAGUAGAAGAGGAAUACCAUUGUUCACACAUCAGAGCUCUUGCUAUUUCAACCAAUAUUUGAUUUUGCAAUUUCAGAUAUCUUCGCAUUUUUUUGAUGUUAUGGUUACUGUUUCCAUACAGAGUGAGGGCGGGCCUUGGCUGUCCCCGCGGACUGAUCCACCGACUAACGUCAAGUUCUAAGCCACACAUGUGGUUUGAAUUUGGCUCUAACCUGUUUGAGAAACAAGAUUUUGUAUGGUUUGUGUGUACUCCCCUGUACAGUUCUGUUCAGAUACAAAAGUCAUACCCAAUAAAUGUUGCCUCUUCCUGCUGAUCGGGGAGGCAAAUAAGGUCCGCUUCUUCAUUUCUCUUGCCCUACCUUAUUUUAUUUAGUAGCAGUGUGCUCACUAGUUUUAACCCGCACGUUUAGCAACCAGCAACAGAUUUAAGCUUAUGUGCUUGUGAGGUGUGGAUAAACUAUAACUGGCAUUUUGUGCUCGUCUCCGUCGACCUAUCCUACUGGUGUGCUGCUGGUGCAGGUUGGCUAACCCUGGGCAUCUUGACUUGAUCUAUAUAUAUAUAUAUUCCUCAAUUGAAAACACUUAACUGAAAUGAAGUACAAACUGAAACAACUGUCAGAAGGAUGAUCUCCUUGACACCACUGUCGUGCCUCCUCGGAUCCCAGCCAGCAUAAGGCCCAGCCAUCUUCAGUUACACUUCUGAAAUUUUGGAUUGAAAUACUUAACUUCCACGACCCCACACCACUUCCUGCCACCUAGCAUCAAUGUUCAUUCUUUGCUGCUCCAAGCUUGAUGAUUGAAUCCUUAGACAUGUCUCUCUUGGUGAGAUUUUUCUUUUGGACAGCAAGCCAAGCAUACAACUAACUGUCGGAAUGCUGGUUAUGUAAAGCCCUUCAAGCUGACUUUGUAUGUGCCUGGAUUUGUUCACUUCCAUGUGAUAUUGUCCGGAAUAUGCAUAUAAUAUUUUUGGUUGUUGUUUUUUUUUUCUCAAAAGCAUGUCUUCCAUCUACAAUCACAUAGCUAUUGUGUGUUCCCUACCGCAUCUCUCUGAAACGCCUAACACAAAUAAGAGUCUGAAAUAAACACCACAAAUGGUGGGUGAGCGUCUCUGUUCUUCCUACUAGACAGCAAGUAAAGUACAUCCAAGGUUUAACUGCAAAGUUAAACGUAACAAUACUAGUAUAGCCAAAUAAGAUGAGUAGGAUUGGGCAAAUUUGCCCCCAUAAGAGCAAAUCUAGCGGGAUCCCGUAUAUGCUCGCUGGCCCGUAUAAUUCUGGUGGCUGGUGGUUUUACAGUUUUCUGUCAAUUUUGGGCCCAAACAGAUCCUGUAAAAAUAGCCUGGCCUGGAAAAGAUGUAUAGGCGGCCCGUAAAUUCCCUCCUCCGCCGCUAUAAGUACGGGGUCGGGUGAGUUGAGCUCCGGCGUUGAGCUCCUCACAUCCUACAUAUCCUUCACCGUGAUCCGCUCCCUCUGCCGCUAGCGAGGUUGAACUCUGGCGAGCAAUUAACCACAUGCAACCUUUCCUUUCUCGCGCACACCCGCAAUCCAUGGCAGGCAGUAACGGGAGCAGCCAUGAUGACCACGUGGGCGCUUGCGGAGGCUGAGGUGGGCACCGGGGCGAGGCAAGCAAGUGUCACCGCCUCGACACCGACAAAGGCUCCUCAAGCCUUGCCGUCCUGAUCCACUCAAGCUCGAGUUACGAUGACGACAAGGACUGGCGCGAUUGGAGGUUGAGGCAGGCUUGCAGGCAUGGCAACCUCUCCUGGAGCAACGACAGUCAGGCGUGGGGCGGGUACCAUGUGAUCGACAAGCAUAUCACCCCUCACACCCAGCACUGUCGCGAGACAGAACUAGUGGUGCGUGACGCAAAGCAUGAGGUGGCGGUCGGCGUGGAAGGAGCUCAGGUGCGCCUCGAGCUUGCACGGAACAAGCACGGCCUCGCCGUGACUAUGUGCAAAACCACGGUGAAGUAUUACCACGGAUAUGAUGAAUGAUCUAGGAUUAGGUUUAUCUUUGUUUUGUUGAUGCACUCCGGCGGUUAGGUCUAAUCUUCAAUGCAUGUAUGAAACUAUCUUCUUUUGUGCUUUGUUUGAUGAACAACUUUGUGUUUGUGAUGAUGAAGAAGCUCAAGUUCUUGUGCGAAUAUUGUGUUCAAAUUUGCAGUAGCGUUUUUACAAGAUCAAUGCCGAUGUGCGAUACCCUAAAAGUGUUUUAGGCCCUGUUUGGAACCACAAUAAAUUAUGAUAAUCUAGAUUAUGAAGAUAGAUUAUAUAAUCAAGUUUAUAAAAACAAUCUAGGUGGGCAUGUUUGGAGGUCAAAUUAUAUAUUGUAAUUCAGAUUUUUUUUUACAUUGCACAAUGACCUGUCUGUCCCAUGCGUGCGCUAAAGAAAAAAAAGGAGAAAGGUUGCGGUGGCAGAAAUUUGUAAUUACCUUCAACUUUAUAAGGAUAAUGGGUCAUUAGCAAUUCAUAAUUUGAUUUUAUCUAGUGUAGAGUAGAUUGUGAGUUUUUAAUAAACUGUUUAUCUAGUUUUUAUAAAUUUAUAGUGAAUUAUAAAAGUUGGAUUAUCAUAAUUUGAGUGGUUCCGAAUAGGACCUUAGAGGACCCCUCAAACGAUUUUUGUGAUACAAAUUUAUAGUGGAUCUGCUACAGUUGCUCUAAAUGUCCACGGACGUGCGGACAACGUCUUCCCAUACCUCAUUUUAUCGUCCGGACAAUCACACCCUUUGUAUUCAAACCCUUGUUUUCAUACAAACACGUAACAUGUUCAUCAUUCUUUUUGUAGGAAUCGAUUCACGGAUUCAACAUAAACCAAAAUAUAUAUUAUGAUUCAGCAAUUCAACAAAAGCCAAAAUAAAAUUCCACAAUUAAUACAUUGACGGUACACUAAUGAAUCAAUCGCCUCCAUUGUUUCUCGUUGAUCUCUUUGUCGAGGAAUCACCUUUUGCUUUCGUCAUCCAAGAGACUAGUGUCCUACAACAUGAUCUUCGAAUCCUUCGUGACCCUCGCAAGCCUCAUCUUAUCUUUUCUCAAUCUCAAUUGUCUCCAAUGUCUAUGCCUUUUCAACCUCUCAUUUUGCUCAUUUCUCUUGCAUCUCCAUGCCUAUCCUCUCCCUCUCAAUGCUCGACCUCUCUCGCACCCUCUUUAUGUCGAACACCAUCAUCUCUCUUUGCACAUCCAAGAAAAGCUUGUACCUCUCCCUCUCACCCCUUUUAUCCUCCAUUUUCAUCAAUGUCUUCCCCUUUGUUGAAAAGAUGUCCAUCCAUGGAAGGGACAUUUCGCUUGCUGCGUCAUCAGGCAUGAGCCUAUAUCCUUCCCCCACUUCUUCUCUAUCAAGUGUAUAUUCCUCUUUGGCAUGGUCCCUUGUUUGUCCACACUUCCACUUUAUCUUCGUCAUCCAAUCCAAUAGAUUGGCGAGAGCUUGAGCCACCAUUUUUCUUCAUCUUCUUGGUGAGGUUCUUGAGAUCUUCAAAGAGGGUGUACCUCUUCGGUUUCCCCCAUUCAACACCACCCAACAACGGAACAAAGCGAAUGGGUUCUUCUCAAUUUGAUGGUACAAAGUGAUGGCAAACCCCGUCUAGCAAGAAAAAUCACACGUCAACAUAAUACCAUGAACGAAGCAAGCAAGAAACGUGAUGACCAUGUGAAGGCAAAACUUGCAUGGCUUUCAAUUCCAGUGUCACUUUGAUGCAUAUUCACCACUUGUGCAUACAAACCGCAAAAUAUGUUCACAUCUCUUGGAUGGUGGCUCAUAUAUGUUGGAGAGAGCCCUCGGUGAGGGUGGUAUGAAUAGGAUGCGGUUGCAUGCAUAUAGUGCUUGUGUUCAUGGUACCAAGCAUGGAUUUUUUUUCUUCCAAAUGCCAUUUUGCUGCAUUCCACAAAUUGGAUCCAUGCUUGUGGCCAAGUAAGCUCUACGCAACAAAACAUCUUCAUGGGUUGAGAAUGUUGGUCCUCCUUGGUAUCACCAACUUCAUAAGUUGAAGAUUCUUGACCGUCAUUUAUCACGUCCAUCAUCAAUGUGUCCUAAAGAUGCAUCACAAUGAAACUACAGUCCUAAAAUUGAUCCAAAAAUGCAUAUGGGGCAAGAGAACACGUGCUAAUUUUGGUCCAGCUGUUCUCCAUGGCGCUGGCGGAUGAUGUAGCGAGUGUUGAGGUGGUCGACAACGUGGACACGGAGCAAGGAUGGAGGAGGGCGAUGACGCGGAUGUGGGAAAGGAAAGGACAAACGCGGGAGAGAUCCGGUUGAUUUGGAGGGAAUUGAGGUUGGUCCGGCCUUCCCGGAUCCGACAUGACGGACGCAUCCGGACGGAUCCAAAUCUGUUCCAUAUAUGGGUUGGGUUUGAGUGAUACCCAAUAGCCCAGACAUAUUGGGUUGGGUUUUUAUUUUUUUUAUCUGCAUUGUUUCUGUCUGGAUAUAUAUAUAUAUAUAGGGGCGUAGCAGGGGUCUGGUUGGAGAUGCUGUAACGGGGUGCUUUCCAGAUGAAGACAACAAGGAAAUCCGCCAACAAUUGAUGUACAAAGACGUGGAGGAAUCUGGCAUGUGCUCAUCACAUUAGCAUGUUAUCCGACGUGGUUGCAUCAUGCGAACCAGCUCAUCCAUUAGUAGCUCGUUUGCUCCGAGUGCAUAACAUACAAUACUCAAUAAGAUUGCUGCAUAUUGUGCUGCGUGCAGGAUUCUUGCUGUAAUACAAGGGUUUCAGUUUCAGCCUCAUGGCUUAGCGAUUUGUUUCAUGAGAAAGUUUUUCCAUCUCGUUCGCUCAAUGGAACUCUCUAGGUCGCUGAGACAAAAGGGACGACACAAUUCAGUAUGAGAUUAAGGAUAUACGUUAAUACGUAGGAGAGGGAUCUCUAAGCUGAUGUAGUCAUAAAAAAAUGGCUAGUAGACAAUAAGAUCGAUGAACCGAGAUCCUUUUUAUUAAAGAAGCGGAGCAAGAUACAGAUUGAUUUAUGUGGCUCCAUUCUCCAACGAUGAUACAGAGAAAUGGUGCUAUACGUCUUAAGAGUAGUUGUAUCAUCGUCAUCAUCAUGCCCCUGCGUGACUGAUGCCUUCUCCCAGGUCCAUCUUCUUUCUUCUGAUCAGGGUCCCCAGGUAUAGUUGGUAAAAGUGUUCUGGCAUGAGCCACAGGAUGGUCGUCAGCUCGCCGCCGCUGUUGAGCUUCUCGGCGUGCGCCUUCCUGCUGCACUUGUUGCCCGCGUACACGAGAAUAUCCGUCCACACGUCGAGGACAAGUUUCACCGAGUCAAGCGUGCCAUCCUUCUCCAUUGUCAGCAGCUGCUUGGCGAGCUGAGCCACAUAGGGGAGACGAGGAGCGUCGUAGCUGAAGCUUCUGCUCUCAUACUCAUCAUACACGUUUCUUGCAAGCUCCUCCCUGUCGGCGAUCCUGGAGCUAGAUUCAGGGUCAUCGUGGAGGCGGAACAGGUUCUUGAGCGUGGCACCGAGGUUCAUGCUCUGACGCCUGUGCGUCGAUCGCCGGAUCUUGACCAGGUUUUCGCAGGUUCGUUGGUACAUCCUGUUCUGUGGGAGGCCCGGUAGCAUAUCCGGUUGCUCCACGAGAAGGAACAUCAUGUAGUUGGAUAUCACCCUGAUCGCCUCCACGUCGAGCCAUGCCUCCUCUUCUUUGGCUCGAUCGCUCUUGGCGAGGAAAACAUCGCUGCAGACGUGCCAGAUGAUGAUGCACUCCUGGAACUCGACGCCGAGGGAGUCUUUGAAGAUGCCGGUGAACAGCUUGUUGCUGACCAGUGUUUCCUUACCCCACCUGUUCCUGAGCAUGCCUAGCGAGUUCACGGCCCCCUCCUUGUACAUCUUGUUCAUGUGUCUAGAGAUGCAAUCCUUGACAUGGUCCGGCAUGUCGAUGACCCAUGAGUGAUGCUCCCUGUUCCAAACCUCGUUCAGACCAAACCCAACCAUCUUGGCCAGCCUGCCGAGCAGAGGCCUGGUGACAGAGCGAGUGCAGAAGUGCAGCAUGUUGUACUGUCCCAUGGUGUAUGACCACCUCCUUGAUGUGUACCGGCUGCCUCCUCCUACCCUGACAAGAUGGUGAAGGUAUGCAACCACGCGCCUAAGCCGAUCCCAUCUUUCGUUACACAGAGCCGCGUACCGGAGCCAGCGCCAUCUGGUGGUGCUCAGGAAGGCAAACGUCCAAGAGGAGCCUAGGGCGUUGAGCAGCGACGUCGUCUCCAUGAACAAGGCACCACCGUACAGCACGUAGGUGAUGUAGACGUCGACGCUGCGGUUGUCGUCGUCCUUGUCGAUGAGCUUGAAAAGCAGCAGCGAGGCGACAAUGGCGAGCGGCGAGACGAGACGUACCGAGUAGCCGAACCAGGUGUGGAUGACGGGUGCCUUGGUGUAGAGCGUGUCAUACAUGAGGGACAGCUCCGUCUCCAUCAAUCGCCAUAACUUGACCUCGCCUAUCAUCUUGGUGGUGUCUUGGCCGUGCGAGUCGUCUUCCAUCACCGGAUAAUCGACCACGGCGCGCUUGCAUAUGUGGAACAGCGAGUGAGCUCGUCGCACGAGGGACUCCUCGUCCAACUCCUCGUCCUUCAACACUCUAUCCUGAGGGUGGAAGUGCCCAUGCAUGGCCGGCGGUUGCUUCUCGAUGGAGCCCCGGAUGCUGUCCAGGUUGCCGCGCAUGAGCGCCCACGUCUUCUCCCCGUACUUGACAGCACCGAUGGCGAACAUCAGGACGGAGGCAAGCAGGAGCGAUGCUCCUCGGUCGGCGAUGUGCUCGUAGAGGACAUAGACGGCUCCGGAGACCUGAAGGACGGCAUGGAGCAAGUGGCGCUUCCACAGCUUGCUGUCCUCGAGGGAGUAGGCGGUGAUGUUGUCCGGGCCGCCGAGGUGCAGCAGGAGGAAUGGCGCCCAGAGCGCGACGAUGGGGUGAUCGCGUGGGGCGCCCUUGAGGGAGAGGUGGCCGAGGGCGAAGGUGGCGGUGUAGUCGGCCAGCUGAUACGCCAGCCAGAGCAGGGAGCGCAGCACCGGGUGGGCACCGCGCCUGCGGAUCCCGGCAAAGAGGAAGAGGGCGACCUGGAGCCCGAGGCUGAGGAGCACAAGGAUCUGGAUGGACCAGCGCUUCCACAGCUCCCCGGGCCAAGCAGCCAUUGCUCCUCCUGUUCCACGAAAUGUAUUAAGCUAAACAAAAUAGAAAAUACACAUAUAUAUCGCCACUAAAUAUAUGAUGCGUUGCGGCUAAACUAUGAUGGUAUACGUACCGUCGUCCCAAAUUCGGUCUGGUCCACGGCCGGCAGUGGAAGUGGAACAGGGGAAUGGUUGAGGCUGGAUAGGCUCAGACUCGUUGCUUCUCGACCCCCAGUCUCACCAAACGGGUAGUAUAGCUAAACUGGAAGAAGAUGAUCACUCCAUCCAUUAUCUUUUUUUUUUUUGCGGGGAACUCCAUCCAUUAUCCAUAGGUGUGAUUCCGUGCUUGAUGGUUCCAACUAAUCUAUCAAUUAUCUCCUGCUCGCGCACACACACUACCAAUCUAGCAACCAUAUAUUAGGGCAUGAAGGAGAUGAUUGAUGGAUUAGUUCCUGGCCCAUGUGGCGGCUAGAAACCAGUACGACAUGAAGUAUGGUUAAUUUAUAGUUGUAUAAAUGGACAACUUUAUUUGUAGCCAAAAGUCGGACCAAUGUAGAUCGGAUUGCACCGCCGCCAAUUAUAUUAGCACACACUUGUACUGUAGAUCGGAUCAAUGUUGCACCCGCAAAAAAAAAGAAGAAAUUGCUAGAGAAUCUUAUGGAAAAAAAACAACCCCGACCAUCUAUUAUUUGACCCUCAUUAUUGAACACAUAUUAAAGGAUUUUAUAUUCAUCAGUCAAUCUGAUAACCCGCUUUGGAGAUCAUGAAUUCAUCAUCUCAAACUAUAUACAACUACAUGUACAUUUUGUUUGAGAUCAAAAAUCUGUCUAUUGAUGAUCACAAGUUACAUAUUUAUAGUCCCCGAAAGGACGCAUCCGAAGGGACACAACGGUUACAAGAGUUGCAUCUCCUUGUAUGACGGUUUGGUAAGUGGAGAAUUAAUCCUUAAUUAAAAAAUAUUAAUUAAGUCUUAACACUCCCCUUAAUCUACGUUUGUCCAUGUAGUAUCAACAUCUUGAUAAAAUCUCCUUGAAGUUGCUUUGUCAUUGAGAAUGUUCAUCAUCAUCAAGUUCAGUAAGUCUCCAUGAAAAACCCUGUGGGAAAAAUGUGAGGAGGUAGAUGUUUGAUGUGUUGUCAAAACUCCUUCAAACCCAAUGGGAAAAUAAGGAGAAAUUAUCACAACAUAUAAUGAUUAUUGUCUCUUUCAACUCAAUAUGGAAAAACCCAUAGAACUAAGAGGACAAUAAAUAUGUCGUAUAUACUUUUCUAAAAAACCCGGUGGGGAAAACAGAAAGUAUGACAUAUGGUCUUGUGUUGAUAUUACCUCAUUAAAAACCUUUAUGAAAACGUGUAAAGUGAACUCAUGAAGGGAAAAGAGUAUAAUAUGAUCCAUUGAACAUGAACAAUUCAGAAAGAUACUCCCCCUAAUUCUUGCAAAUUUCGAAGCUCUCACAUACCAAUUCCAUGAACACAUUUAUGGAACAUAGAAGUUGGUAGAGACCAGAUGAACAAAUCAGUCGCAUGAUUUGACUUGCAAGAUAUGCAAUAUAGUGAUAUUGCUUAUUAUAUAACAUGUUUGCAUCCGGGCAACACAAGAAACAUUAUCCUUGAGAUAAUGGUUGGUGGAUGUAGCCAUGAGGUCUGUUUCAAAGACUCUUCAUGAGAGGGCUACCACACCUAGUAGGAACACUAAGCUUGUCUACGACCCGACAUAGUGGGGAUCUGAUCAAUGUAUCCAGUGAUAUCGGUGUUCACAUUUCUGUGAAAUUGAAGAACCAGGACAAGAUGUUUGAUGCCUUGGAGAUAUCGAAAGAUAUUGUUGAGUACCAACCAAUUGUGUUUGGUGGAUCCAAUGGCAUUAUGGAACGUUGAGUCCCAAUAUCUCAGUUCCAUCAUCUCUCGGCCUAAAUAGAUCUUUCUCUACGUCUAGAGAAUGAACUACCAUGAGAGUUACGGAUGGAUAAGACUUGUCCACAAUGAAUUUCUCCAAUAUAUUUUGGAUAUAGACAACAUAGUAUACCAUAAUGUAUGAAUGAAGGUGCUCAAGUUGUAGUAACGAGCGGUAUUUUGGUUUACCCAAAUCCUUCAUUUUAAACUCCGCCAUUUAGAUGAUUACAUGUGUCGUCAUUGCAGACACAUAAACAUGGAUAAUCAUCAUUGUAGGAGUAAUCCUUAUGCAUAAGGAACUCACUACGUCGGUUGUACCAUAUGUACCGACAACAAUUAGUCGUAUGGUGGCUUACUGAUUUUUACAGUAUGUUGCAUUUUGCAUUUCGAUUCAGAAGUCAGAUUCCAUCGGGAAUCAAUCAUAUAUGUCUGAAUCUAGUGACCCACAUGGAUAUGUGAUCACUACAUCUAUCAAUUGCAGAGAUAGAUGUUUUUGUACUGCCAAUAAUAUAAGUUAUCGGAAAGAGAUUCCACCUCUAGAGAAUGGGUAUCUGCGUGAACCCUUGUGCUACAAUACUUGCUCUUUGUUUCACCACCUCGUUGUUCUCAAUUCUAUUUCGAGAAGAAAACUCGUGUAGGUAUUGUUAUGAAUACCUUCCCAUUAUUGAGCAAGAUAAUUUCUACUUAGAUUAUACCCUUUGCUUGAGUUCAGUCUGAGUGUUGCUCACACUUUGCGAUGGCCAUGGUCUUUGGAUCUGAAUCAUUUGAAAGGUUCUGCAAUCUAGUUGAGAAAUGUAUGUCAAAAAUUGUAGACUUCCGGUUAUAUGAUUCUCCAGAAUCGUUACCCAUGGUGAUAUAAUUGAUGGAAAUGUCGUUACCCAUGGUGACUGCUCGCGAUUUCCCAAUGCGAUUGAUUCGGAUAUCCCGAUGACCCGGUCAUUGUGUGCACUAUGAUCUGGGUUGGUGGAGGUUUCCCAUCCACUAGGUAUGCUACCCAUUAGGUGUCUGCCAACGUUAAGUUGACUUGCAUUUACUGAUUCAUAGGCCUUGAUAUCCUUGCUUGCGAGAAGCUGAAUCCUGAUGUACUUUUGCCAUACAUCUCCCCCUGUUGCAUCGAACGGGGAGCGGAGUGGUUUUUGUUGGUACCUCCACUCUUUCAGGCGUGCUUUUGCAAGAUUGUAGGAUUGUGUGACACCUUUAUAUGCAGUAAAUGAAUCUGGCAGGUUAUUUGCAAUGAGUUGCAAAUCUUCUGAACGCAUAGUUCAGAUCUUUGAGUACGUGGAUUUGAGGCAGAAAUGUGUUGAACAUUCCACUAAUUUCCUGGCAUUCUUUAUGGUACUUGAAUUCUCCCCUAAUGCCUGGAAAUAUUCCUCAUUGAAUCAGCAUACUGGCCUUGAAUAACUCCCCAUGUGAGGGGCUUGAGGUAUUGACGGAAAUACAAUUAUUCCUCACAUAGAUCCCAACUAUAUGUUGAGGGGCAAUGAUGUAUGCGGGGUGGUGAUAUCGGUAUGCAACCGAAUUACCGCAGAUGGGAAAUACUUGGUAGAUUUCCACGUAUCAAAGAUAUAAGAGAAUAAUAUUAUGCAGUUCUGUCAUGAGCGUGUAAAACUACAUGACUCCAACGUAAAGUUGGUAAGUUGCAAUUCCAAAGUAAAGAUAAUGCAAUGAGCUUAAUUCUUUGGACAAAGAAUUCUACCAAACCAUUUUGAGUCUAGACAUUAGGACAAAUUGCCAAACUUCAAUCCAAGGGCCAUUGAGAAGGCACUCAAGGAGAAUUAUGCAAUGUUAUCCAUUCAAUUUGCUUGAAAUCGAUGUCAGGAUAAUGAGCCAAUGGUUUCGUGUGAGGAAAGCACACACUUAAGACCAUCUUGUAGAUAUGUCUUUAAGAACCAUGGAAUGCCUGAAUAGUCUAGUCAAUGGAUGGGAAGAGUCACAUACCUCGACUUGCAUGCAUUCAAGGAGUCUGAGUGGUCCAGUGUAGACUUCAAGGUGCGCGAGCCUUAAAAUUAGCUUCCCUUUGUCACAUGUAGUGCACAUAAAAUCCAAAUAUUGUUAGAAUUUAGCAUCAUAAUAAUCAUAAACUAUUGGAAUUGCUGAUAGUUUUGGUUUCAACUCAAUGUCUUCAUGACCAAGGUGAGUAUGCCAAGUUUGUCAUGUAUAAUACACUCUAGAAAACUAUCUCAUAUGCAACAUGUGCUACGGGUUUUGUCGAAUGUGUAGUACAAUCCAGAUAAUACAUAGAGAAUGUGCUUUCUAUAUCCAUUGCAUAUGGUAAAGAGAAGUUAUUUAUCUUUGUUGUCAUCAUAAGUUUUGUUAUGGAAACUAUUUUGACGGAUACCUCUAUGGUUUAGUAGGGUACGAGUUAAACCGGGAAGCAAUAAAGCAUCCUAACAUUACUCGAGUACCCACAGGGAUAAUAAAUAUGACUCAAGUUGAGCCAACAAAUACCUCAUCGCGUCUAGCGAUUUUAAAAUAUCCCCUUUCUCUCAACGAGAGUGGAAACACUGGACUUCCCUGAGUAUAGAGUUUGUGGUGCCUAUGUCCACAAGGCACAUAUCAUCUUUCAUCGGAUUGACUCUCUUAGAAAUCUAUAUGAAGAUUCUCAAUAUGAAAAUCACUGUCAAAUAUAUAGAAUACAUACAUAUGUAUUUGUACCAAAGUGCUGAUACAAUAUAUUGUGGUAUAUAAUAUAUGAUGACAACAAUACUUAUGUUCUUAUUAAGACAUCGUAAAUGGACAUAAACUAUAUUGACCAUUCAGGAGAUUGAGAGACUACACAAAGUCUUCAAACAUGUUAGUUGAGUCAUAUUCAACCAUCAUAUUCUCCGUUCCCAUAGGGUCCCGUUGUUAGGGAACGUCGCAUGGGAAACAAAAAAUUUCCUACGCGCACGAAGACCUAUCAUGGUGAUGUCCAUCUACGAGAGGGGAUGAGUGAUCUACGUACCCUUGUAGAUCGUACAGCAGAAGCGUUAGAGAACGCGGUUGAUGUAGUGGAACGUCCUCACGUCCCUCGAUCCGCCCCGCGAACAAUCCCGCGAUCAGUCCCACGAUCUAGUACCGAACGGACGGCACCUCCGCGUUCAGCACACAUACAGCUCGACGAUGAUCUCGGCCUUCUUGAUCCAGCAAGAGAGACGAAGAGGUAGAAGAGUUCUCCGGCAGCGUGACGGCGCUCCGGAGGUUGGUGAUGAUCUCGUCUCAGCAGGGCUACGCCCGAGCUCCACAGAAACGCGAUCUAGAGGAAAAACUAUGGAGGUAUGUGGUCGGGCAACCGUGAGAAAGUCGUCUCAAAUCUGCCCUAAAAGCCCCAUAUAUAUAGGAGGAGGGAGGGGGACCUUGCCUUGGGGUCCAAGGGAUCCCCAAGGGGUCGGCCGAGCCAGGGGGGAGGACUCUCCCCCCCCCAAACCGAGUUGGACUAGGUUUGGUGGGAGGGAGUCCUUCCCCUUUCCCACUUCCCCCUUUUUUUCUCCUUUGAUUUUUAUCCUUGGCGCAUAGGGGACUUGUGGGCUGUCACACCAGCCCACUAAGGGCUGGUGUGGCUCCCCAAAAGCCUAUGGGCUUCCCCGGGGUGGGUUGCCCCCCCCCCCCCCCGGUCGAACCUCCCGGAACCCAUUCGUCAUUCCCGGUACAUUCCCGGUAACUCCGAAAACCUUCCGGUAAUCAAAUGAGGUCAUCCUAUAUAUCAAUCUUCGUUUCCGGACCAUUCCGGAAACCCUCGUGACGUCCGUGAUCUCAUCCGGGACUCCGAACAACAUUCGGUAACCAACCAUAUAACUCAAAUACGCAUAAAACAACGUCGAACCUUAAGUGUGCAGACCCUGCGGGUUCGAGAACUAUGUAGGCAUGACCCGAGAGACUCCUCGGUCAAUAUCCAAUAGCGGGACCUGGAUGCCCAUAUUGGAUCUUACAUAUUCUACGAAGAUCUUAUCGUUUGAACCUCAGUGCCAAGGAUUCGUAUAAUCCCGUAUGUCAUUCCCUUUGUCCUUCGGUAUGUUACUGGCCCGAGAUUCGAUCGUCAGUAUCCGCAUACCUAUUUCAAUCUCGUUUACCGGCAAGUCUCUUUACUCUUUCCGUAAUACAAGAUCCCGCAACUUACACUAAGUUACAUUGCUUGCAAGGCUUGUGUGUGAUGUUGUAUUACCGAGUGGGCCCCGAGAUACCUCUCCGUCAUACGGAGUGACAAAUCCCAGUCUUGAUCCAUACUAACUCAACUAACACCUUCGGAGAUACCUGUAGAGCAUCUUUAUAGUCACCCAGUUACGUUGCGACGUUUGAUACACACAAGGCAUUCCUCCGGUGUCAGUGAGUUAUAUGAUAUCAUGGUCAUAGGAAUAAAUACUUGACACGCAGAAAACAGUAGCAACAAAAUGACACGAUCAACAUGCUACGUCUAUUAGUUUGGGUCUAGUCCAUCACGUGAUUCUCCGAAUGACGUGAUCCAGUUAUCAAGCAACAACACCUUGUUCAUAAUCAGAAGACACUGACUAUCAUCGAUCAACUGGCUAGCCAACUAGAGGCAUGCUAGGGACGGUGUUUUGUCUAUGUAUCCACACAUGUAAAUGAGUCUUCAUUCAAUACAAUUAUAGCAUGGAUAAUAAACUAUUAUCUUGAUACAGGAAUUAUAAUAAUAACUAUACAUGUAUUAUUGCCUCUAGGGCAUAAUUCCAACACCCGUCACCACUGGUGAUGUUGGGUUGAAGGUUGAAGUCAGCUUCAAACCUUUGCCCUUGAGGUCAUUGUAUCCCAGGAAUUGCUGAUACAAAAUAGUCAGGUGCUGAGAUCUGAAUCAAAUGCCUUAUGAUAUAUAAGACAAUAUUUUUCUGUUAGUAGCGUGAUCCUGACCAGAGGUGAAUCUAGGAUUGCACACAUUAUCCCACAAGACACAAGAGCGAUCAUGAUGUCCACGCCCCAGAUAGGACAAUGGUGGCCAUUGAGGGCGAAUGCCUCAAAUUAUAUAGCCAUAUGUUACCUCCAUGGGUAAACCAGAGAUAAUUAAUUUACAACUAGUAAAUUAAAAACCAUCAUGGUUGAUGUUGUAAUGAACUUAGCAAAAUCAAUGGGUAUUUCAAGAAGUUAUCUUGAAACCAUUAGUGUGAAUCUCAAAUUGCUAAAUAUGACACCUUGAAGAUAAUCUCCAAAAUGGAGUAGAUCUCUCAGCACUACGGAGUAUAACUGAUGAACUGGGUAGAUACUCACUCGUAAUGCCUUAUGUCAUGACUUAGUAAAAUGUGUGGGAGAGCACUUUGUAAAGCAAUCAUAAUGUCAAAAAUGACAAAAUGUAAGCUAUAUCAAUAGUGGUGAUAAUCUGCAAAGCAGUAGAUCUCCACAUUACCUUGUGAUCCCAAAACAUCAAUUUAAAAACAACACUUAGAAUUUUGCAUAUCAAUUCUUGCUUGUAUCAAGCCAAAGGCUCAAUUAAGAUGAAUUGAUUUUUAUUUGCAAAAAAUUAAAAUUCUCAAUUGCAAAUAAACGUAUUAAUCUCGACAUGUAACGAACAUGGAGAUACAUACAUUCCGGAAUACAUCGUACUCAACAGAAAUACACUACUAUUAUAUUGAAUAGUAAUGAUGUUGCAAACUUGAUUUUCAAGUGAAAAACUUGAAUUGUAUAGACCUUAAAUUAAAUAAGAUGGUCUUGUAUCAAGUUGCAAGAUAAUUCAGCAAAGUGAAUUAUUAUUUUGCGAGAGAAAAUUAAUCUCAAUCGCAAUGAGAUUGUUUUGCGAGAAAAGAAAAUUCCCAAUCGCAAAUCAAUAUUGUUGUGCGAGAAAACUUAAUCUCAAUCGCAAUACGAAACAUGUUGUAGGAAUUGCUAGAGAGCAAAUACAUUGAACAUGUCCUAUUUUCAUACUUGCAUUGCAAAGAAAAACCGUGGGCUAAUCUGUAAUUUAUGGAGACUUAAAUGCAAAAUACAAAUAAGUCAAAUGACAUUCUGCAUACUGAACAAAGUCCAAGGACUAGAUAGCAAAUAACAGAGUGCAAUCCAUAAAUACGUAGAAUAUGAGGCCUGAAAUGCAAAAGGGGAAAGAGAUAAGGUUCUCUAUCGCUUCAUGUGGGUGUGGCCUUGCAUAUGAAUCAAUCGAUUCGUCUAGCUUUUCUCUAGCAUCCACGCCGUCAAAUCCGCUGAGGGAGAAGCCAUGACAGCGAGCAACCAUGCCAGAGAACACUCAUGUGCCUUGCGGCAUGAGAUCGAGGCUGGCCCAUUCGGGGUUGUUUUCUGCGCGUCGCGCUCGGACCUGGCAACCGCGGAGGGCGCCGUUGGCCACUGCACCUUGUGCAAGCAGCAGUUAAAGGCUCGGUCCGGCCUCUGUUGUCCUAUGUGGGGGCUCCGGCAGUCGGUCGCGCGCACGCACAUUGGAGGGCCUGGGGAUCUUGCCUGACGUCGCAGCCUCGCUUCAACACCAGGACGGACCAUGCACCGGGAAUCAGCCGCGCGGAGGGGCACCAACCGCUGCGCUAUGAGCGGCCGUGGCGUGUGGAGAUGGGACAGGCGCCGCCACGAGCAAAGCGUAGUUGGUUGUUGGCCAACGCCUUCGCUUAUGUCAUUUGCGAGAAGCUGCGAUUCGGGCCCGAUGGCCGCCAGAGCCGUGUCGCUAUAGGGCAUCGCAGUGCCACGACCUGCGGGCCGAGCCAUUGAGGGUUGCUGCCUCGCGGCCGACCGUGAGAUAGAGGUCGCCGCGCAGGCAGUUAUCCAAGAGCAUCGUUACUUUCCGGGAAGAUGAGCACGCACCAGAAAACCACCGACACCGCGCAGGCAGCCGUCGAGGUCAACGGAGGGGAUACGCCAGCGGGGAUGGAAAGAAUUGUCGCCUCUACCAACGAUGUGGCAUCAAGCCUUGUCUGCCGCGUGAAUCCAGGGAAGCAGUUUCCACGUCAGGCGCCAAGAGGAAAGCAUCGUGGCCAGGGCCUUGGCUAGUGCAGGAGGACUGGGCUGAGGCCGCAGUUGCCGUCCCGUUGUGCCAUGCGCUGCCUUUGCGAGCGCUGGAGCGUUGGGCAUAGCAGGGCCGAAGGGCAUCGCCAUGCUGCGCCAUACGCUCUGGCUGCCGCAAGUGUGGCCUUGAAAUUGCUCCGCGAGAGAGCGUGCUGAUAACGUGUUUGAGAUAAAAAUCUGUCUAUUGAUGAUCACAAGUUACAUAUUUAUAGUCCCCGAAAGGACGCAUCCGAAGGGACACAACGGUUACAAGAGUUGCAUCUCUUUGUAUGAUGGUUUGGUAAGUGGAGAUUUAUUCCUUAAUUAAAACAUAUUAAUUAAGUCUUAACACAUUUUUUUUCUGAAAACUUAGAGUGCGCUUUACUUCACAUAAACACGAAAUAAAAAAAGAUAUAUGGGUUGUCCACACAUAAUCGUGAUAUAUUAGUGUCACUACGCUUUUUAGACAGCGGAUAUGGUUGCACCGGAGCGAAAGCCCAUCGGAGGAGAGCCACCUAUGGACCACAAGGCAACAUGGCGUGCCAUGAUAGCUUGUGGGGCCCACAUGGCUCCUGCUGAUAUGAUUUUAAUAUUGAAAAAUCCUAUAAAUCGUAGAAACCCCGAAACUUAACCUAGAAUUUCCACUCCGUCGCCGCAACUCUCCGUGUCGAAGAAAAACUCAUCUGGAACCUUUUCAAUACCCUGUCCGAGGGAUAAAUAAUCUCGGGUGGCCAUCUUCAUCAUCCCGGUGGAGGCCACAAUGAGGAGGGAGUAGUUCACCCUCGGGGCUGAGGGUAUGUACCAGUAGCUAUGUGUUUGAUCUCUCUCUCUCCCUCUCUCUCUCUCUCUCUCGUGUUCUUGAGAUGUCACGAUCUUGAUGUAUCACGAGCUUUGUUAAAAUACUUGGAUCAUAUGGUGCUCAUCCCUUGCUGUCUUGAUGUGAUGAAUUGAAUCUUUCCCUUUGAGAUCUAGUUAUGUUGGAUUGAAUAUUUUGGAUAUGAAAACACUUGAUGUAUGUCUUGCAUGUGGAUACCCGUGGUGACAAUGGGUUAUUCUAUUGAUUCACUUGAUAUAUGUUAUGGCGUCAACUUGCGGGUCCCGGUGACCUUGGGGGUAUAUGCAUAGGGGUUGGUUGCAUGUUUUCAUCCGACUUUCUCCGAUAGAAAUCUUGGGGGUACUGUUUGAAGUUCUUUUUUAUUUGAUCGAGUAUGAUGAAUAUGAAAUUGUUUAAUGCAUGGUGAAUAAUUAACCCAUGGAUACUUGAGGUGACAUUAGGGCUGAUUGAUAUGUAUCAUAGGUGUUAUUCUAGUACAAACUCUGGGGAUGUUUGUGACACCUACAGUAAUAGCCAAAAGAUUGAUCGGAAAGAGUAACUUUGAGGUGGUUCGUGGCCUACAACAACUCCUUAUUAUGUUCUCCCCUAAUAGGAAUUUUUGAGUGAUUUCUUUGUUUCAUGUUGGUCAAUGACCAUAUGAUUCUACUGUCUUAGCAUUGUUGUGAGAUUGCACUAGUGAAAGUAUGAACCCUAGGCCUUGUUUCUAAGCAUUAAUUGUUGGGGAACGUCGCAUGGGAAACAAAAAAAUUCCUACGCGCACGAAGACCUAUCAUGGUGAUGCCCAUCUACGAGAGGGGAUGAGUGACCUACGUACUCUUGUAGACCGUACAGCAGAAGCGUUAGAGAACGCGGUUGAUGUAGUGGAACGUCCUCACGUCCCUCGAUCCGCCCCGCAAACAAUCCCGCGAUCAGUCCCACGAUCUAGUACCGAACGGACGGCACCUCCGCGUUCAGCACACGUACAGCUCGACGAUGAUCUCGGCCUUCUUGAUCCAGCAAGAGAGACGGAGAGGUAGAAGAGUUCUCCGGCAGCGUGACGGUGCUCCGGAGGUAGGUGAUGACCUUGUCUCAGCAGGGCUCCGCCCGAGCUCCGCAGAAACGCGAUCUAGAGGAAAAACCGUGGAGGUAUGUGGUCGGGCUGCCGUGAAAAAGUCAUCUCAAAACAGCCCUAAAACCUCCGUAUAUAUAGGUGGGAGGGAGGGGGCCUUGCCUUGGGGCUCAAGGAGCCCCAAGGGGGUCGUCCGAGUCCAAGGGGGAGGACUCUCCCUCCCCAAACCGAGUUGGACUAGGUUUGGUGGGAGGGAGUCCCCCUUCCUUCCCACCUCCUCCUUUUUUUUCUUUCUCUCUUGAUUUUCUUCUCCUUGGCGCAUAGGGCACUUGUGGGCUGUCCCACCAGCCCACUAAGGGCUGGUGUGUCUCCCCAAAGGCCUAUGGGCUUCCCCGGGGUGGGUUGCCCCCCCCCCCCGGUCGAACUCCCGGAACCCAUUCGUCAUUCCCGGUACAUUCCCGGUAACUCCGAAAACCUUCAGGUAAUCAAAUGAGGUCAUCCUAUAUAUCAAUCUUCGUUUCCGGACCAUUCCGGAAACCCUCGUGACGUCCGUGAUCUCAUCCGGGACUCCGAACAACAUUCGGUAACCAACCAUAUAACUCAAAUACGCAUAAAACAACGUCGAACCUUAAGUGUGCAGACCCUGCGGGUUCGAGAACUAUGUAGACAUGACCUGUCACGCCCAAGAUGCGACCCUAUCCUCAAUUUGGCACGAAGGCCUCGUCAGGGAUAGAAGCGCAUCUCGUCGUGUCGCAAGAAUGGAUAUCGUUACAAGUACAUGUACUGAAAAGAUGAGAUAUAUAAAGGGUUGGCUUACACUCGCCACAAGCUACAUCAGAGUCACAUCAGUACAUUACGUAAACAACAAGAGUAAGAGCAGGGUCCGACUACGGACGAAAACAAACGACAAAAGAAGAACGACGUCCAUCCUUGCUAUCCCAGGCUGCCGGCCUGGAACCCAUCCUAGAUCGAUGAAGAAGAAGAAGAAGAAGCAACUCCAAAUGAACAAUCAACGCGCUCGCGUCAAGUAAACUUUACCUGUACCUGCAACUGGGGUCGUAGUAAUCUGUGAGCCAUAGGGGACUCAGCAAUCUCAUUUCCAAAGGUAUCACGACUAGCAAAGCUUAAUGGGUGAGGUAUGGUUAAGUGGUGAGGUUGCAGCAGCGGCUAAGCAUAUAUGAGGUGGCUAACUUACGAGUACUAGAAUAAAGAGGGGGAAGAACUACGCAUAGCGGACGUGAACUACAGAUGACCAAAUGAAUGAUCCUGAACACCUACCUACGUCAGUCAUAACCCCACCGUGUCCUCGAUCGGAGAAAGAACUCACGAACGAGACAGUCACGGUUACGCACACAGUAGGCAUGUUUUAAUUAAUUAACUUCAAGUUAUCUAGAACCAGUGUUAAACAAAGUUUCCACGUUGCCACAUAACCGCGGGCACGGCUUUCCGAAAAAUUUAACCCUGCAGGGGUGCUCCAACUAGUCCAUCACAAAUUACCACAAGCCGCAUAGAAACCCUCAAUCACGAAGCUCGCGAUCUCGUCGGAUUCCCUAGUGGAAAACCUCAACUCUGAGAUUACCCAAAGCAUCACCGGAAUCCCGAUGCACAAGAUAUCUCGUCAAAGGUGAAACUAAUCCAGCAAGGCCUGCCCAACGUGUCGACGAUCCCGAUAGGAGUCGCGUACCUCGUUCUCAGGACACGACGGAUGGGUCACGCUAGGAGUACCAAACCUCGGGUUGCCCCGCGGUGGCCCCGUAGUCUGCCAAUUUGGACCAACACUCAUGAGGAGCACUGGCCCGGGGGUUGAUUAAAUUAUCCUCGGGAUCCGGAAAGUCCCUAUGCAAUUUUAUUAGGUGAUUAGGCAAAUGUAGUACCAAUGUUGGGCCUUGCCAGAACAGCUUUAACCUAAAACGAAUUAUCAAGGGGGUCCCCAUAACAACCCCGAUCGUGUUAGGAGCGCUCAAUUAUGGAACAUAACACCGGUAACCGAAACUAAGGGGGCAAAGGUGGAACAAAACACCAGGCUAGAAAGGUCGAGCCUUCCACCUUUUACCAGAUAUAUAGGUGCAUUAAAUUAAAUAGUAUUAAUAUGGUGAUAUGACAAGGGACCCAUGUUUUCACAUGGAAGCAACUGCACCUGCAACUAGCAACGCUAUCUACAGGGUUAAGCAAGCGGUAACAUAGCCAAUCAGUGGUUUGCUAGGUUGAACAGGUGGAAUGUUUUCAUGGCAUUGUUGAGAGGCUGAAUUUAACAGGUGGUAGGCAACGAGACAUAACGAUAGAAGCGGUAAAACUAGCAUGGCAAUGAUAGUAAUGGUAUCUGGGGAAAUGAUCAUCUUGCCUGAGAUCCCGCUUGGAAGAAGAAUGCCUCCGUGAAGCAGACGAACCGACGUAGUCGAACGGGUCCUCACAAUCCGGCACGCUGCGGAACUCUAACGAGACGGGGAAACCGGAAACAAGCAUCAACACACGAUAUUCACCACACGAUGCACAACACAUAUGAUGCAUGAGCUACUGAAUACAUGCAAGUCACGGCAUGACAAAUCACACAAUCACACACUACACCUUAAGUGAAGUUCAAUAUGCACGAGUUGCAUAUUGACGAGACUCCACGUUAAUUAUUUAGUUCACUCCCGGUUAUCUACACGGCAAUAUUAAUGUUGUCAAACAGGCAAGAGGUGAAGCGGAAAUUAAACUACUUAUCUAGGCAUUUUAAAUGAGGUCGGAAAUGUCAUAUAGCACCUCCGAGACGACCUCACAUGUUAAUUUACAAUUCUGUCCAAAUCUGAACUAAUGAAUUUAAUUGGUUGUUAAACAGCAAAACAAAUAGGUUCACGUGAGGCAAGCAAUCUACACAUAAGGAAUAUCUCCAACGGAGCUACGGUUCAACAGAUACAAGCACCGCAAGAUAUGAUGGCAUGAAUGCAAAAUGUGUGCAACGGCGGCUACGAGCACUUCAACACAACCAAACAGCAAGAGGAAAUGAAACUACAUGAGAUUCUAAGCAAGUUUCAUGUAGGACAUGAUCAAAUCGGAGCUACGGUUCAACAUCUACGAGCAAAACAAGAAAUCACUACAAACUGCCCAAAACAGCUACAUAGCAACUUCUACGCCUCACAAUUUCGGCUUCACAUCUCCGAUUUGCUCAAGCAAGGCAUGGCACGGAAGAGGGCAAGAAGCACUGCUACGAACAACUAACAACAACUAGCAUGGCAUCAUCGAUCACUAGGGAAAGAAGUCACAAAAGGCAUCUCAUUCACUAUUUCAGACUUAGUGAAAAUUACACCUCUUGAAAGUGCAGUUUUCAGCCUAAAGCUAUAUUGACAGCAGCAAAACCCUAAGCUACAUGUAUCCAAAUGACAUGAAACUUAACAGCAUGCUAGAGAAACAUAAGGGGUACAACUAACUCCAUUGGACCAACCUCAAAAGAGCUACAGAUCUAAAUAUGCAAGCUAGACAAGAUAGCAACAAAAUAAUAACAGAAUCCAGACUUAGAAAUAUUUCAGCUCCUCUGAAACAGCACUAUUCAAGCAACUUGAGGGCAGUCAAACAACACCUAAACAUGCAUUUCUAUUGCAACUAAAAAUACCAGGGGCUAAACAAAACAUCCAAGAUCAACUCUUUAGUUGACAACUAAUCCUAACGAGACACGGAAUAAAUCCUACGAAUUAAACCAAAGGGCAUCACGGUAAAAUAUCUCGUGAACUAACUUCGUCAAAAGCUAAAACUAAUUGCACAGAAAAAUCCACGGGAUUUUUCUACCCCGGAAAAAUAUAUAUAAUGUGGGGUUUGCAACACAAAAUCUUGCCACACAAUAAUGCGGGAGGAUAACCUAUAUACGGGAAAAACAACUACCGGCAAAACCCUACACGGAAAAAUACGAGUGACCGCUCUAAAAUACGUACAAAUAUGGUCCCUAAAACAUGGACAUUAAAUCUAUGGCAUACGGGCAAUCCGGAUACACACAAAAAUUAACUACGGAAUGGAUCCUAGUUAAACAGCACGUAAAACGAGACAUUAGGCACUCUAAACAGCGUUAAAUAAAUAGGCAUGUUCGAUAAACGUGUUCUACUCGCGAAGCUACCCCAAAACGAUAUAAAGAUCACCUCGAUCCGACUAACGGAACAAAAGUUACGGGCGUUUAAAAUAAUUAGCUAAACCUGUAAAUAACUAAACCGCAAAAGAAAAAGAAAACCUACAUCUCUAACGGGCCGAAUCUGGUGCGCAAAUUACAACGCAUGGGCGAAGAAUAGGGGUGAUUCUCACCUCGGGCUGGCCCGGUUGAGGAGGCAGAGGAGGCCUGGGCCGCGUGGAGGGGAGCUGGGCCGAGCUGGGCCGGCUCGGGGCCCAGGCGCUGGCGGGGUGGCUCGGGCGAGGUCGUCCUCCUAGCCGAGCGCGUGAGCCACGGCGGCGGCCGGCGGCGGCUCCAGGCGGGACGGCCCGGCGGGGUAGAAGAGGGGAAAUGGUGGGGGCCGGCCGAAUCUGGAGGGAUCCGGGCACGGGAGCCCCAGUCCCGGCGGCGGCGGCGAGCUCCGGGCGGAGGACGGCGGCCGGCGCGAAUAUGGCAGAGGGCGGCGGUGCCGGUCACAGGCGGCGGCGGGAGGCGACGCAGGGCGAUGGCGGCGGCAGGGCACGGGAGCAGGAGGCCGGCGGCUGCUGCUCUGGAUCGGGGCGGCGUGCGGCGGCAGGAAGCGGCCGGGCUCGCGAGCGCAGGAGGCUCCGGACGUGCUCGGGUAGGAGCUCGGGCCAUGGCGGCGGCGGCUCGGGCUCGGGCGGGCCUGCGAUGGGCUUCGCGGGCCCGGCGGCGCCGGCAGGGGAGAGAGAGGUGGGGCGGCUCGUCUAGGGUUAGGUUUAGGCUGCGCGGAAAACGAGGAGGAGAGAGGAAGUUGUCCCAAAAAUAAUAAGAGGGCCUAUAUAUAGACAAACGGGGGGCUCGGUUAACCGGAAUCGCGAUCCGGAUCCAACCGCGGGGUCGGAUUCGGACGAUUCCGAACGCGGGUAAGGGUACGUGGCCGUGUAGAGGGGUUUACCGGAGACGAGGGGGAAACGGGCGGCGCGGCAGGGUUUUUAAAACACCGAGAGACGUUCGACGAUAUACCGAAGACGGUACCGCUACGGGCGACCGUUCGGGUACCAGACGGUCUCCGAUCGCGACGAAAUUCGACAGGCGGCCUAGCUACACCUAAUCGCGACCGCGUGCCAAGUUUCACCUCGAUCAGAGGAAGUUUUACACGCACUUUAAAAACAGGGUUUCGACGGUGCCGCGGGCGCGUGCGAGUGCGGUCGGGCUCAGAACGGACGACGACGAGAACCGGCAACUACUAACGAAUGCAAGUUUGAAAACUGGCAGCAACGGAGAUGCCGAUGCAAUGCAGAUGAUGCGAAUGAUGCGAUGAUGACGCGACAAAUAAAAAUAGACACACGACGAAAACGGAAAGAGAGGGGAAUCUUCUGGAACGUCGGUCUCGGGCUGUCACAACUCUCCUACACUACAAGAGGAUCUCGCCCCGAGAUCCAAGAAUGAAAGGGGAAGAGGAUGAGAAAGAACAAGAGGUAAAAACUUAGUCGCUUCUUUGACAAACGAGUGAAACCAACGAUCCUUGAAGGUUGCAAGGAGAUGAAGAAUGACACGAUAAAGAAGCCAGAAUUCACGGAAAAUUUCGGCAGCACUUCGGUAGGAAAAUGGGACAAAAAUUCGGAAAGGUGGAAGAAAUAGACAAUAUUCAUAACAAACAACUAAAUAGAGCAAGGGAACACCAUGAUCUUGAUAGAACAACAAGAUUGACCCAAAAGAGCAACAACACAAUGCCUCCGGAACAAGAGAAUAGAAACUAGCUCAUACGGAAGAAGAGAAUGAAAAGAGAAUGACAAUUACUAACUCCAAUGAACUUGACAAGCAUCCUUGCAAGAAGAAUUGAACGGAGUUGUUGCAAGUAACAAUGAAGAAAAGAACAAGACGGUAGUGGGCUUAUGGAAAGCUUUUCAAACUAAUGAAGUGACAACCCGCCACUAACAGAAACAAGGAUUGAUUGGGAAAAACAAGAUAUGAACAAUUUCUUACACCAAAAGGAUACAUUGAGAACUUGGAUUAAUGACAAGCACCAUAAUAGCAACAAUCCAUAGGAAAAGCUUUAGGUGAAAUCCAACCCAAGAUAGCUCAAUGAAGAAAUCAUGGGUUGAAAAAAAUAUCUCAUGAUCAAAUGAUUGGUGAAUUUAAUUAUCUCAUUCUUGAAAGGAAAACUCUCUGAGUCUCCUACACUACAAGAAGCCAUAAUACCACCUCAAAGGAUAAAGGAAGAACAAAUGCACCGAAAUGCAAGGAAAGAAUGCUUGAGGUACUCCAACAAGAAUCUUGAAGAACACAUGAGAAUGAAUUGAAACCUUGAUGAACCACCAUGAUGGACCUUCAUAUACCAAUGAACGAUGCAACGAAAUGAAGGUAGACAAGAAUAAGAUUAUGACCUUACCAAGAUUUAGAUGAAGCCUCGUAAAGAGAUACUUAAGAGAACUUGGAACUCUAGAAAAGAAAUAUAAGCACACGAGGAAGGAAUUGAAACCAUGAGCCACUCCGGAAGAAGAAUUGAAAUCUCUUGGAAGAAGGAAGAACAAGAAUAAGAAUUAUGUUAUGCUCCUCCUUCAUCAAGUUAAACUGAUGAGAAUCAACGGAUCUAGCAUACCACUUAUUCCUCUUGCAAGAAUCUUGAAGAGAUAGAGAGAUAAGCACCACAUGACGCAUAAUUGAAGGAAGCACCGGUUAGAAUUCACAGUUGAAUGAAAACCAAGAAUCACUGGAGAAACAUGAGAACGCAGAGAUCAUGAUCCACCUGAAAGAAAAAACUUUAACAAAGCACCGGAAUAACCGAGAGACGAAUGCAGAGACAACAAUUGAGAAGAAUUGAGGAUGAAAGCUGAAAGCUGAGAACGAAGAAAUCUUCUGAAAUGAUGGCCUUCGAAGGAACGAGACUGGAAAAAAAACAACUCAGAAAAACACCGGAUAUCAAGAAAUGAAUCACUCAUGAUUGAAAAACAAAUACAAGAUGAUAACGCGAAGCUGGAAUGACGAAUCUGCAAGAGAAUGGACCAAGAUUCGAGAGAACACUCCUUCGGUCUUGACAGAAGAGAAUGAUGAGAAGAACACCACCAAGAAUUAAUGAGACACUCCGGAAUAAGAAGAAUGCAAGGUUGAGACAAAUUUGAGAACUAAUUAAAUGGAUCUUGAAGAAAGAAUAUGACUGAUGAAAUCCAUACUUACGUCAUAGUUGAAAAGAAUUAAGGAUCUCCGGAAAAGAUUAAAGAGUCAGGUAAGAUCCUGGGAAAGAACCUGUGGGUUAUGGGCCCACUCAAAGAAACCACCGUUAGAAAAGAUUGCUCGAAAGAUUGAUAUUGCACCGGUAUGCAGAGGACUAGAUGAGGUUAAGAACUCAAAAUAAUAAAAGAAUUGAAAACUCGACACUCAGAGAUAUCUUCAGCACUCCGGAUAGAAUAGCGAUAACUGAAUAAACAAGAUAGGCUGAAAUGAAUCUCCAACAUAGGAAAGAAUUACAAGCACGAAAAGGAUAUGAUGAACACGGAUAGCUGAAUUAAAUUCGCCGGUAAGGAUGACAAAAUUGAACAAAUAUGACACGAAGCUCCUGAGAAUCUUCACGAUGAAUCACCAGUUACGAAAGAAAGAAGAGAUAGCGGAAGCAUCACUGGUAUGAAAUGCAGUUGGAUGAAAUCCAAUCACUGAAGAAAAAGGGCGGGAGGGCGGGGAAAAACAAAGUCAACUUGAGACGGAUGAGACAACUCCGGUAAGAAUGAGAGAAUGAUCUUACGAAACUGGAGAGGAUAGAAUUCACUGAAGAGAAGCACACCGGUUGGAAGGACUUGAUACGAUGACUCCGGUUGAAAGGAAUUGAUAAGACAACUGACUAAGCAAAAGGAUUUGCAUUCUCACAUAAAAAUAUGAGAACACCUCUUAAAAAAGAUCUGAAAUCACCACUUGACAUCGAAGCAACUGAAUUACCAUAUUUCAACAAAACAAAGGAUGCGGCUUACGAAACAAGCCAGAACAAACUCAUGAGAAAGAUUUAUGUUCGAUAUUUUCGUGGACAGGGUCGCACGGGCACGAUUUACAGAAGCCAUCAAGUGCAAGGCAGUGCACCUGACAUACGAAGCGUCCCCGAGUCGUAGCAAGCUACAAGGACUCUUUAAGACACAACGUGUACCGCUGUAAGUCGACCGUGAACAAGCGAAUCCACUAGAUGUCGAACCCCAACCUAACAUCAUGCAUUUGUUGGAAGAUUGUCCUAUAAGCAAUUACUUGAAUUCCCACCUAUGACUUCCCGAAAUAUCUGGUCAUGCAAUCUGGUACACGGAUACAAGGAUUAAUAUCACACAACUCCUAUACUAAACCGUCACUUGUAUCACAUCCGUCAACACACGACCAGAAUCUCGGACCUUCAUCUACAACAGACCCUCGUGAUCGCAACGAUACAAAGUAUGGCAGUACUCCCGAACAAUCUGCACCAGUACUGGGGACAUCGGGGUUAUCUCGCCACUACUAGUAUUGAAGCAAUUACGAACAUCCUUCGUUCUGAGAUACUAAGAAAUCUGAAUGAUAACGAUGUGCUCAAGAAUCCCCUGGAGCUCAACUCCCCGGAAGAAGAUCAAGUCAGACAGGAGGCACCAAGACAGAACUCCGUCACAUCGGCAUCAUAUAGAUUCCAAAAAUAUCCGCGUGAUCCUAAAAAAGAUUUUCAGUGAGAAGAGGAGUAGAAUAAAUUAUUACGUCAAGAUUCCUCACCAGAGCAUAGAAGAGGAGAAAAAAGAAUCCUACUCUCCGAUAUAUAACUAGACUCAAAGUAGUAUUUCACUAGACUCGACUCGGCCAUGUUCGAUCAAUCAAGGGGGCUCCUAGGUCGGUACGGCUCUGAUACCAACUUGUCACGCCCAAGAUGCGAUCCUAUCCUCAAUUUGGCAUGAAGGCCUCGUCAGGGAUAGAAGCGCAUCUCGUCGUGUCGCAAGAAUGGAUAUCGUUACAAGUACAUGUACUGAAAAGAUGAGAUAUAUAAAGGGUUGGCUUACACUCGCCACAAGCUACAUCAGAGUCACAUCAGUACAUUACGUAAACAACAAGAGUAAGAGCAGGGUCCGACUAUGGACGAAAACAAACGACAAAAGAAGAACGACGUCCAUCCUUGCUAUCCCAGGCUGCCGGCCUGGAACCCAUCCUAGAUCGAUGAAGAAGAAGAAGAAGAAGCAACUCCAAAUGAACAAUCAACGCGCUCGCGUCAAGUAACCUUUACCUGUACCUGCAACUGGGGUCGUAGUAAUCUGUGAGCCACAGGGGACUCAGCAAUCUCAUUUCCAAAGGUAUCACGACUAGCAAAGCUUAAUGGGUGAGGUAUGGUUAAGUGGUGAGGUUGCAGCAGCGGCUAAGCAUAUAUGAGGUGGCUAACUUACGAGUACCAGAAUAAAGAGGGGGAAGAACUACGCAUGGCGGACGUGAACUACAGAUGACCAAAUGAAUGAUCCUGAACACCUACCUACGUCAGUCAUAACCCCACCGUGUCCUCGAUCGGAGAAAGAACUCACGAACGAGACAGUCACGGUUACGCACACAGUAGGCAUGUUUUAAUUAAUUAACUUCAAGUUAUCUAGAACCAGUGUUAAACAAAGUUUCCACGUUGCCACAUAACCGCGGGCACGACUUUCCGAAAAAUUUAACCCUGUAGGGGUGCUCCAACUAGUCCAUCACAAAUUACCACAAGCCGCAUAGAAACCCUCAAUCACGAAGCUCGCGAUCUCGUCGGAUUCCCUAGUGGAAAACCUCAACUCUGAGAUUACCCAAAGCAUCACCGGAAUCCCUAUGCACAAGAUAUCUCGUCAAAGGUAAAACUAAUCCAGCAAGGCCGCCCGACGUGUCGACGAUCCCGAUAGGAGUCGCGUACCUCGUUCUCAGGACACAACGGAUGGGUCACGCUAGGAGUACCAAACCUCGGGUUGCCCCGCGGUGGCCCCGUAGUCUGCCAAUUUGGACCAACACUCAUGAGGAGCACUGGCCCGGGGGUUGAUUAAAUUAUCCUCGGGGUCCGGAAAGUCCCUAUGCAAUUUUAUUAGGUGAUUAGGCAAAUGUAGUACCAAUGUUGGGCCUUGCCAGAACAACUUUAACCUAAAACGAAUUAUCAAGGGGGUCCCCAUAACAACCCCGAUCGUGUUAGGAGCGCUCAAUUAUGGAACAUAACACCGGUAACCGAAACUAAGGGGGCAAAGGUGGAACAAAACACCAGGCUAGAAAGGCCGAGCCUUCCACCUUUUACCAGAUAUAUAGGUGCAUUAAAUUAAAUAGUAUUAAUAUGGUGAUAUGACAAGGGACCCAUGUUUUCACAUGGAAGCAACUGCACCUGCAACUAGCAACGCUAUCUACAGGGUUAAGCAAGCGGUAACAUAGCCAAUCAGUGGUUUGCUAGGUUGAACAGGUGGAAUGUUUUCAUGGCAUUGUUGAGAGGCUGAAUUUAACAGGUGGUAGGCAACGAGACAUAACGAUAGAAGCGGUAAAACUAGCAUGGCAAUGAUAGUAAUGGUAUCUGGGGAAAUGAUCAUCUUGCCUGAGAUCCCGCUUGGAAGAAGAAUGCCUCCGUGAAGCAGACGAACCGACGUAGUCGAACGGGUCCUNNNNNNNNNNNNNNNNNNNNNNNNNNNNNNNNNNNNNNNNNNNNNNNNNNNNNNNNNNNNNNNNNNNNNNNNNNNNNNNNNNNNNNNNNNNNNNNNNNNNGAUGACGUCAAGUCCGCAUGGAACCACUCCGUCUUCUAGACCGGGGUCAUAAUUGAACCCACAACAAACCUCAGAUGAUGUGACUUCUCCACCCUCUAGGCAAUUCAUACAAAUUUCUAUUCUGGAAAAGCGAACCCGCUGAUAAAGAAUUUUAUACCGAGGUUGGAGUUAGUCAACUCAAUAAUGAUACUCUCCCUCUGGGGCCUUGAGCCGAAGCCGAGUCGUCAGGAGAGAAUGCAUAAGAUACGAUUGUAAUAUCAAUAACCGGAGGAGGAGAAGUAGAAGACAGGCUUACGAAAUAACGAAAAAGUAAAAGUGACCGAGAUGCGAGGGAAAAACUUUUGUUUCACAUUUCCGGAAAGACCACCUAUUUGUUCGUUUACCAGGUUCAGCAGAAAAAAGGCGCUCUAAUCGUACUCGAGCCCUUAAUCCCCCAAUAGGACUUACUUACCCGAGUCAAUUCUUUCCUUCCUGUGCGAAAGCAAGGCCUCUUUCUCGAAGGGUAAGAAGAAAAUAAGAAGUCUCUUGAGCAGUGAGGAGCACAACGAUUUGUGCUCUUUUCGGGAGCAGAGCUGAAAAAGAUGGAGUUACCUGGAGAUGAGAUUGAUUUCUACGGAUAUGAAGGAUAGAAAUAUGCUAUUUGCUGCUAUUCCAUCUAUUUGUGCAGCCACUUAAAGAUCUUUGAGCAGCUCGAGAGAUAAAUCCGUCUUCAUUGGUACAAAAUAACCUUCGCCCCCCUUUUUUGUUAUGGGAUGGUGGCCUCCGAGGUAAGGGCGAAUCGAGACCGAAAGCUACUAAUAAAAUAGCAUAAUCUGACGUGGGACGAGUUUCUGCCUCAUACAGCUCGGGCCGAAGACCGGGGAAGUUGAGGAGAGAUGGGGAGACCCAACUGCUGCCAGUCGGGACGGACAGGAAAGGGGGCGGGGAUAAAGCAAGCUUAUUGCCCCACCGCCCAAAAACAAACCGAACCCAGAAAGAAAACGUAUCCGCUUUAGCAUCCUGUUGGAAUGGUCCUAGGAAAGACUACGUACGAGAAAUCAUUCUCACAGCCAACUUUCCUUCUUCAUAAAAUUAUUUAAUAUUAUGAGUAAUAAAAAAAAUAUUAAUAUUUUUUGCUAUGAUGAGGUCCCGGACCAGAUACAAAGCUGCAUAAAGUAGCUACUUCUUACUAGCCCGACUCGGCUCUGCGAGAAAACGGCUGCAGUCCUUGGUUUCCUAAACUGCGGCUACCUCCCAGAGAUCAUUAAUAGAACUGUUAUUGUUUUAAUCCCAAAGGUGAGAUCCCCGCAGGAAAUAUCUCAGUUCCGUACAGUACUGGAUGAGGUAAUUUCACAAACACAGAGUGCUUUUGUUGUACCCGGCCGUUUAAUAACGGAUAACAUUCUGGUGGCUUAUUAAUGCAUUCACUCAAUAAAAAAUAAGAGGUCAGGGCCGGGGCUUUGUGCAGUAAAGCUGGAUAUGCAUAUAAACGUAGACACAUUAGGAGAAUUGGAACAUGAGAGCAAAUUAACAUAUGGAACGACCCUUGGGUUCCAGGAAGUCCCAAUAGUAAAAUCACUACGGAAAGGGGAGGUACACUUCUCACAAAGGUAAAUGAGUUGAUUGACCCUGCUUCGGGUACUUGGGACGAGCAGCUAAUCACGUCAAUUUUCAAUCCAAUUGAUGCAAGAAGGAUCCUGUUAAUACCUAUGAACUAUGAUACCUUUGAGCACUUUCUUGCUUGGCACUACUCCAAUGAAUGAACUUCCAUUCGGACAAUUAAUUAAAAGAAAUAAGGAAAAUAGGAGUAAGCGAGUAGGGUCAACAAGAUUCUAAACGAAUACCACAAGUGACGGAACCGACGAUGAUGAAGAGAUAAGGAGCGAAGGAUAUUUUUUCUAUUAUUCCAAUUCUUAUUUAUUGAUUGAUUAUCUAAUUUAUUUAGAUCCAUAUUCAUUUUCAUUUGCAAAUACAAACUCUCUUUCAUUUUCUUUUUACUUUUGCGCUAAGGAUAAGGGAACUGAGAAAAAAAGAGCUGGCUUGGCUGGUACAUCAAGCAUAUGACAUAUUGCUUGUUCGGUGUGGUACACAUAUCUGUCAAUGUCAAUCAAGUAAGAAAAUGCAUUCCCACUGUCUGAGGAAAAGGUGAAGAAUUGCAAUUUAUUGAGCUUGUAAGGCGAGUUUCUCUGGUAUCCUGUACUUCCCGAAUAUAGCGCUCAUUAACCUGUGGAAGGAAAGCAAAGGUCUCAUCCGACGAAUUGACACUUGAUCGAUAUGCUUCUUUAACAAGAGCGGAACAUGUCAGGCGAUCCUCGGUCGAAAGAUACUCAUGAGGUGCGGGAAUGCAAGUGAACAGUCUUUUCUUUACUCUAAAGUACUAAUUAGAUGGGGUGCCUGCCUAUUAGUUACCUAACUUGGGUGGGGGAUUUCUUUCAGCUAGAGCUACUACUUCCAAUUCCCAAUAAUCGAUUAGAUUGCACCAAGUCUAGAUAUCAGUAGCUGAUGUCGGUAUCAAUGAUCAGAUGUCGGUGAAUCGAUUCAGAGGCCUAUUUGUAAACUAGAGAAUUGCCGAUAGGGGAUCUGCAUGAUAGAUCAUUCAUUUGACUAUUAUGGACCAAGGGAAGAGACCAAGGUAUGGAACUAAUUGUUAUUGGAAUGGCUAAACCAAUGAAUUCGGAUUUCCAAAUCGUUAGCGGCGGGUCUUUCUUCUUCUGGGCGAGCUGCGGAGCUACUUUUUCUUUCUUUCAUUCCAUCUGUCUCUGUAUGCUUGGGUGAAUGCCAUAAGCGGAUUUGUAUGCCCCGGUGACUUAUAAAAGGAAAGCACCAAAUAAAAGGAAGGAGAUCCGUCUUGAUUUUUUGCAUGUGGUCAAUGCGUUUGCUGAUUGAUAACUGUCUAAUCUUAAGAUGGUUUUGUGGCACGUUACAAACAUACAUAUACAGUCGAAAUAUAGUUGUGUUGAGUUAGGUUGAAGAAUUUUUACCAGAUUUUUAAAAUGAGAUAUAGUGCUUUCUUUGUUCGGUAGGAGAUUUUGCACUUUUAUAUUCUAGUUCCUCAUUUGAGCGUUCUUUUGCUCUGUUGGUGGGCAAGGGGUGGCUACAGACUAAAAGAAGAUCCUCACAGUGAAAGAGUGGCCUACUUCCAAGUAAAGCACAUUAGAGUUUGGGGAUUUCUCGUCCAAUCGGACAGGGCUCGCGAACAUUGCCCGCCUCUCGUGGGGAACGUAUUGUUCUAGUAAAACCAGGCCCUAAAUCGUUAUUCCUUUCCGGAUUUAGGAUUGCGAUUUCCUUUAUUUGAUGACUGGAAUGUGCGGGUAACAACUGCUCUUUCUUCUCGAUCGAGUAGCCAGGCAGCUCUUUCGCUCUAUAGGGAUAUCGGGGGGGGGGGGCAUAGCACAAUUCUUCUUGGAGGAGGGUUUUGGAGAAGUUCAAUGAGGUGCAAACGCACGAAUUAAAGCAACGAGGACAAGUGCUAGGAUAGGAUCCCGAAGGAUGGCAUGGGACAGAUCUGAUCUCCUUUAUACUUACCUCAAACAACGAGCGAAGUUGAGAUGUUGAUGAGAAAGGGGCUUUUCUCAAGGCCAAAGAGUGCUCUUUGAAGGCUACUAUGCAUCCUUACGCUCCCAAUCGGGUUACCUUCCUGGGUCUCGCCGGUGUUGCCUGUAGGUCGUGAUGUGCCUCGAGAUGGCCGUCUCCCGGAACCAUGUUCAGUGCUGCAAAAGCGCAGCUGUAGCCCCCUAGAAUCUUCGGCUCCUCGUUUUUAUUCAAUUAUGAAAUGAGUCAAGCCCGCUUUCUGGUGGCACACCCCCCAAACAAGCACCACUCGACGAGGGGGGGGGGCGGGGAAAGCUACAGGCCCAAAACCUUCGACCCUUCUUUCUAUAUGGGGGUGCCCGGGGCACUUCAUCUUGUCAUUUUGUUGCUCAUUCCCCUUAGGCUACGAAUAGAGAUAGUGCCCUAUCCACUGCAAAACGGUACUCUGCUUCAACCACACGGUAUGGCUCCCUCAUUUCAAACCAAGCUGUAGACCGAGCAAACCUCUCUUAUCCUUCUCGGCUAGAAGUUACAAGUUUCCUGUUCCGGUUUCGGCUUGAGGGAAGUGCCUGAAAUCGAUUCAAUUCUUAUCUCCGAUUUCGAAAGCUUAAAAUGGGGGGGAUGAGGCUGAUGUUGAGUCGGGUGAUGAAGCAACUUCACCGCAGCAAGAAGCCUAGUGAGCCGCUGGCGCACCUCUCCUAACUAUUGCCCAUUUAUUCUGGAAUAAUUUUUUUAGGAGGGACAAUUUUACAUAUUUCUGCCAAAUCCUUCUAUUAUUAAGUACGGCUGGCCGCGCUGUCAAACCUUCCAAUUCCAAAAUCCCACCCCCAAAGACUGCAUACUGAUGUUGGCAGUUAUGCCUAGGUGAUAGAUGUAUGUUGCUGGAUUGGAAAGCUAUACGAUCCCUUUUAUUCAAUUAUGACAGCUCAGAGGAAUUGGAGCAGAGAGAAAUCUUUAACUGAACUUCUCAUCCUGCCUACCAACCCAUAUUUUUAUCAAAAGCAUGGAAACUAUCUAAUCGAAGAUCACAACUCUGUGCCACCGACAAACGUUUGACUUUGACUGUGUUUUUUUUGGGCUAUGAAGAUUCUACUUAUACCCAAUGAUGGAACAUUUUGAAAAUAUGUUCAACGGGGUCUGGUUCUAGUACCACUAAUGAUGGAACAAAUCCAAAUGUGAAAACUAGUGCACCUAAGCACGACGAUCACUCCACAAGGGGAAUCAUGGAUGAAGCAAAUCAAGACAAACCGGGCGUACUCCUUCCAACUUCAGUAUGCGGGUAGCGAUGCUUUUUGGAAUCCAAGAGAACUUUGAAUCGGAGGAACGACCAACACAGCUGGCAUGGCUUUGUUGAAUCAGGAUUUGAUGACAGGAACGUUGUUGAAAUAACUUCUUUACCCCGCCCUUACGCGGUCAACGAACUCAUACUAAUGCAAGGACUGCUCGCAAGCAAAUUCGGAAAUGAAAGAAGGCUACCGAAAGAACAAGCAACGGCCCGGUCGUUCAAUCCUUUGAUAACCAAGGUCAUUCUUUGCUAAACAGCUAAAGGAAAGGCUUCUGAUCACACACUUGUCGUCUGGGGACCGCCCACAUUCAUUCAUUUCAUUCAUUCAUUGUUCUGUUGUGGAUUCGAACCACUAGCACAAAUUUGAUUUCGAGUCAAAGGGCGCUUUUUUAGGAUUUCCAGUCCUUUGAGUUAUUUGACGAGCUUGCAGGGGGUGGGGCUAAAUUCUUAUCCAAUGCCAUCCUUUCCUUCACCGAAGCCCACUAGUUGACGGUUGGGAAAGCAAGGGUGAAGGUAUCGACCAGGACUAGUAGUUUUACUAGGUGUUCUAAGGGGUAGCCCGGAAGGCUUUUUAGCUGAACAUAAGGAGUGGUGUGCGGACCCAAAGGCAGUUACCACACCCCGUCGAAAGAAUUAACACGCCAAAAGGGCCACCAGCUUUCCCCCAAAAAGGGGAGAUCCGCUGCUUACUGCUCACGGAAACAUCCGACCUUAUGGUCAAGUCGGCCCGAUGUGGGUACAUUGGCGUCAUCGUCGUAUGAAAUUCACGCACAAAGGGCGCCGCAAUAUGCACCGUCGGUUGCUGCGCUCCCUGCGGGUAAUAGCAAGACCCCUCCCGAGAUCGGACUCGAGGGAGGGUAAGACAUCCCGCCGGGAUGCCCGUCAGCAAGCAAGCACUUUCGAAAGCAGGAAGUAGGUACAAUUAGUAAAAUAAUGUGGAUGAAUAAGAUUUUGCUCGAUUUUGGAUCGGAUUUGGCGGCAUGGCGGCGUUUUUGACCAAUUCUUUUGCAAAUAAAAAAAAAUUCCGUUCAAGAAAGAAGAAGAUCAAUUUUGGGUUGGAUCUGCGGGAGAAUGAGGGAGGAUCAGUUUUCUUUGAAAAUGCUGUUUCCCACAACCGGGAUUUCCUUGAGGCGGAAAGCUCCGCAAGGAGGUGCCUGGAAGUGGAACAGAGGAUCCGGUGGGAAGAAAUCCCCAAGAGCAAGGCAAGUCUCGAAAAGGCGGAGCUCUUAUUCGUAGGAUCGGUCCAAAGCGCGGCUGAGUUGACGUUGAUAGACUUGUGCGUGCUCUGCCGCUCGUAACCUUUUUUUUCUCCCAUCGAUCGAAUCGAGGAGGUCAAGUUUCGAGAGCCUUUCGCAGAACGGGAACCCCCCAUGGGGAAGGGCUCUGAGACGCACCACAGAGCCACCAAGGGAGGGCGAUCCUCCCGGUGAACUGACCGUACCCCAAACCGACACAGGUGAACAAGUAGGAGGCCCUCUUCCUCCCUUUUUCUGAAUCUGGGAGAGAGGCAAAAGAGAAGUCCAGAGAGACCUCGACUCUUUCAGGGAAAGGAGGGAGAUCGAAUGCGAGAUGGAGUCCCUGCCGAAUGGAAUGGACAUCCUUGGGGACAGCUUGCUUUAUGUAAUAUGGCUUAAGCAAUGGUAAAAUGGGAGUCCUGAGACCUUAGCCUGAUGUCCUACCCAAAGACUUCAAAGGUAGUCACAGGACAACCUUUCCGAGUUCUAACUUCCAAACCUAUAACUUGGUUUGCUUGCCUGCUUCCUAUCUGACCUAUCAAUCAAAGAAAUGUUCUAGUUCCGUUCCUUUUUUCCUUUUUGCUCUUUUUCUUUGAAAGCUUUUUCCAAAUUCUAUGGCAGCAAGAUUAUUUGCUUUUGCUAGAAAAAAAGGAACAUAGUAUCUCUCGUUUCGUGCUGAUCUGGGGUGGGGUAAGGUAAUUGAAGUAACUAGCCAGUAUUAAGAUUAGGCAUAAGCAUAAUAAACUGAUGCAUCCGAAGACGGUGAAUCUAGAAUAGAGGCCGGGUGGGGAAGCAAAAGAUCCACUUCUUCACCGAUCUCUCCCGCAAUCUUCUUUCCCCACUCCUCAUCCAAGUGAGGAGCUACCCGAGAGGGGGGCUUAGCUCUGGAUCCCGCCUGCUUGCAGAAAUGAAUGGAUCAGAAAGGGGGCUGGGUUCUAUUUCCGGGCCGGGCAGGAGGUGAAGGCCAGAAGAAGAAGAGAAGUGCGCCUUCCCGGGCUUCAAAACCGAUUGACACUGGUGAUUCAGUAAGUUGACUACUUUGUUCGCACUUUCUAUUUGCGUAAUAAAAGUAUGCUCCUUUCCCUCCUCCAACUGCCAGAGUUCACUAGCGCGAAAGAAAAAUAGAUGGAUUGAGCGACGGGACAUUAACCUGGAUUUAGCCCUCCUCUCUACUAUCUACUGGCUAGACCUCAAGGCCUAUGACCACCUAUUAGGUUUACUUUAUUAGGUCUCCUUCAUUCCUUUAUUCAAUUCACUAUGUAACCUUUAUACAAUUCACUAUGUAACAAAGUUGAUAAGCCACGUUUUAUAUUAAUAGUAAUAGCCGUUUUCAAUCUUUUUUGUUCGUGCUUCGUCGGCUCCUCCUUUCUGAUCACUCUCCCGCCGGAGAUUCAAGACCCCCAGGCUCUAGCUCAUUUAGCAGGGCUAAACUUCUAUCUGAGUCUUUACGAGCAGGAUCCGGGAUUGUAUCUUGUCUUGGGGCGUCUUUCUUUGGCUUUACUAUCAAGCCAGACGCGGCGCCCUUUCGCAUUAUCAUCUACCUCCCUUUCUUUCCUCCCGUCCCUUCACGCAUGAAGAUCGUCAACUGCAAGUAACCAAGGAUACCGCAUCGAUAAUCAGAGGACACGUAGGGGCUACGGUUAUUCAGUCGAUACAGAGAUGCGCUUAAAGUGGGGGGUGUGCUGUCCCUAUUGGGCUGGGCCCUUCCCCAUAAGGCCCCACCGUCGGGGCAUAAGCGCCCUCUUGAGUAAGGCCGAAGGCUUACUGCCGGAUAGCCCAGUCAGUGCUCCGAAUAGUCCUUUCAGUGAUCCGAAUAGUCCUUUUCUCGGGGAUACCUCCCCUCGAUCAGUUGUUGACGCCUUUCGCUAACAACUACAGGGGAAGCGGCUCAGUAUCAACAUACCACCUGCCCGUCUUAUCAAUGACAAUCAUUCGUUUGGAUGAGGCCAUUCUAAGGGUUGUUUAGGAUUGGUAUCUGCUCUCUUCCCACGGAG
This 63402-nucleotide long non-coding RNA is filed under the name Hordeum vulgare. RNAcentral's name for it is "long non-coding RNA (HVUL_LNC013700)". Lineage: Eukaryota; Viridiplantae; Streptophyta; Magnoliopsida; Poales; Poaceae. The record is from RNAcentral.